RNAcentral lists this long non-coding RNA (45005 nucleotides) under Capsella grandiflora. RNAcentral describes it as "long non-coding RNA (CGRA_LNC000001)". Lineage: Eukaryota; Viridiplantae; Streptophyta; Magnoliopsida; Brassicales; Brassicaceae. The record is from RNAcentral.
UUUCUUCAAUCGGCAUUGCUACGAUUUCUUACGUUUCUUCCGAAUCACUGAGCGUGCGUGGAUACAGACACGAUUAAUACUACUGUUUCAUCUUCUUCUUCUUUUUUUUAACGGUUUCUCUGUUUCUGUCUCAUUUAAAGUUUUGAGAUUGCAUUUAUGGCUAGCUAAAAACUAAUGCCCUCCUUUUUUUUUUUUUUUGGUUUAGGACAGAAGACAAGACCUCAGUGUAGUUUAAGUCUUUAAUGCUGAGGAAUCGUGUGUAUAGAUUCUUCAUCCCCAAUUUAGUUGCAGAUCUGGAACUUUUACUGGGUUGAUUUAUCGAGAAGAACCAAAAAGGUUUUUUGAUUUGCUCUUUAAUCCUCUGCUACUCUUGUUUUUGUGGUAAUGGCUGAGAGAGGCAAAUAUCUUGUGGGUUUGGUUUGUGAUUGUGAUACUGCUUUAGCUCUUAUGUUCACGGGGAAUCUCACCUUUGCAAGUUUUAUGGCCGUGUAAAAUGAGAUAUUUAUUUAAUGCAGUCACAGCAAGAUUUAUUGGCUUCUCUAUGCUUUUGAUUCAAAACCCAAGAAAGAUGUGAUGAUUCUUGAUUUUAAAUUUGCUUUUGACAGUUUUGUAUUCUGUGUCUCCAGGUUCGCUUUGUCUCCCACAAGUGAUGGUUGUAUGACUCACAUGCAUGUCCUUUGAAUCUGUUCAGCAUCAAGAAGCUUUCCCUUUGAAUGGAUAUGUCUGGUAAAUUUUGUUGUUUGACGUUUUGGCUGGUCUCAAGUUUCUGUUUUUGGGUUCCCUGUGGAUGAAACGAGGACACUUCUUGAAUGCCAUGGGGACCAAUCUUGAAUCUGAGACAGUUAGAUAUUGAGUCUUUGCAGAUACUUACUUGGAUUUUUCCUAUUGAAGGUAUUGAAGAAAUCAGCACCUUUGACGAAUUUAGGGAGAGAAGAUCAGACUUUGAAGUCUCUGAAGAUGAGAGACGGCGCUCAAAAAUAGGGAAUUUGAAGAAGAAGGCCAUUAAUGCUUCAACCAAGUUCACUCAUUCUUUGAAGAAGAGGGGCAAAAGGAAAAUCGAUUAUCGGAUUCCUGCUGUCUCCAUUGAAGAUGUAAGGGAUGAAAAAGAGGAGAGCGUUGUGCUCGAAUUUCGCCGUAAGCUUCUCGAGAGAGAUUUGUUGCCUCCUAGACAUGAUGAGUACCACACUCUUCUGAGGUUCGUCUGUUCUUUAGUAGCUACAUACACACUCUGGUCGCUUUAGCUACAAAUAUGAUGUGUUGCUAAUACUGUCAAGCUAAUUAACCAUUCAUUUUGAAAAUGUAGGUUUUUGAAAGCUCGGGAUCUUAACAUUGAAAAAACCAUCCAGAUGUGGGAAGAAAUGCUGCGAUGGAGAUUAGAGUAUGGGACAGAUACCAUACUAGAGGUACGGUGUUAAUGGUUCAAGUUCAGCUUGUUUGUUGUGUCCUAUAAAAACUAAGUAACUUCUGGUACACAGCUAGUUUAAAACCAAAAUACAAUGGCUGAAAACUUAUAAAAACGUAGUAUAUUAAUAUGCUUGAUAUUUGGAUGCACACAUCUAUAUUCAUCUUCUUAAUUAGUUGAUGGAUUCAGUACCAAGCUCCUAUAAUUUUUAUUCUUUUAUGUGGAUGUUAGGACUUUGAUUUCGAAGAGCUUGAAGAAGUUUUGCAAUACUAUCCUCAAGGCUAUCAUGGAGUUGACAAGGAAGGAAGACCUGUCUACAUUGAAAGACUUGGGAAAGCUCAUCCCGCUAAGCUUAUGCGGAUCACCAACAUAGAUAGAUAUUUAAAGUACCAUGUGCAAGAGUUUGAGAGAGCUCUCCUGGAAAAAUUCCCUGCAUGCUCAAUUGCCGCAAAGCGUCGAAUCUGUUCCACGACUACAAUACUAGAUGUGCAAGGAUUGGUAGUUAUUUAAGUUCUUACCAAGAGAUUCCUGCAUUUUGUUAUGCUUUAAAGUAGAUUUUUCCCUCUAAGUGCUUCUAGAUUCUCAUCUUUGCAGUGUCAUGUUAAUGACAGGGAAUUAAGAACUUUACACCAACAGCUGCAAAUCUUGUGGCAGCCAUGUCAAAGAUUGACAAUAGCUACUAUCCUGAGGUACUUGAGUUUUUGAAUUUUGAAUUUUGGAUUUCAUAUCUUCUUCACAUGCAUUCCCGGUUGAUUGAAGUCAUUAUAUUAUUUUGCAGACGUUGCAUAGAAUGUACAUAGUAAAUGCUGGAACCGGUUUCAAAAAGAUGCUUUGGCCUGCUGCUCAAAAGUUUCUUGAUGCAAAGACCAUUGCAAAAAUACAUGUACAGCUUUUCAGCCUUGUUUUUUUUAAUUUGGUCAACUAUUGCUCUGUGUAGUUCAUCUUAUCACUGUCAAUGCAGGUGCUAGAACCCAAAUCUUUAUCUAAGUUGCACGAAGUCAUUGAUUCAAGGUAGCUUUCUUUCCAUUUUGAACAACAACUGAAAAAAUUGAGGAUAUCAUGUCUAGCCAAUACUUACGAGCUCUGGUGCUCUGUGCUUUAGUCAAUUGCCAGAAUUCCUUGGAGGUUCAUGCUCUUGCUUUGGUGAUGGAAGAGGGUGUCUUCGUUCUAACAAAGGACCCUGGAAUGAUCCUGAAAUAAUGAAGGUACAAUCUAAAUCUUAUCAGAUUUUGCUUUUACUUUUCGAGAUUGUUGUUCUUCCCUAAAAAAAACUUUUAAGUAGGAGUCAGCUUUGUACAUGAAGCUCAUUUUAGAUCUAUUCCUUGAUUAGCUCAUCCACCGUGGAGAAUCGUCACUUUUUAGGCAAAUCACCAGGAAGCUGAGCGACCCGCAGAAUUCUUCCUCCUACAUAAGUAUACAUCCAUCGACGGUAAAUGGCUCUAUCAGACCAAUUUCUCUGUUUGUUGUAGAACAUAUUUUCCGGUAGUAUGACAGUGUAGCUUUGCAUUUUCUAGGCUAUGCAAGCAGAGACUUCAGCAGCCGACUCGGUAUCUUGUUCUGAUGUUCCUACUUCUCCAACUGGAAGAAUGUGCUCAUCAUCUGCUCGUGUGAAUCUAACUUAUGAGGAAGUGAGUUCUUGUGUUGGUACAUUUGUAUCACAGACUACUCUAGUUUCUUAAUACUGACCGGAACAAUAUGAUCUAUGCAGUCUAGAGCAUCGGAUGUUAACGGUUAUUUUAGUUGCGAUGACAAGUUUGCCGUACCUGACAAAGCUGGUAACCGAAGAAGCCAAGAAAAGUCAUCCCAUUACCAAACGCUCGGACUCAAUCAAACAACUCUCGGUUUAAAAUGUGAGACAUCUCAACCAGGUUAUACUUCUUAUUCAUGCUUUACUGCUAAAACAAUUCCAUUACAUAUGGUUUUUCUUUUUGUCUGUAAUGAAACAGAUUUCCUAUAUAAUUUUCUCACCUUUUGGAUUUCAUUUUCCAUCUGGUAUCUUGUAGGUGCUCCCAUCAUUAGUUGGCUUCAUGAGUUAAGGGGGAAAAUUGACAAGAUAAAAUGUGAGAACCUAGCAAAAAGGCUACUUUCUUUAAUGCUGAAACUAGCUGCAGUUUUCCGUUAUACCCCGUUUGAGCUUCUGAGAAGCCAGACCACAGUAAGCCCUUCAAGUCCAACAGAAGAUGAGAGUAGAUGCAGCCUCAUCCCAACUCCUAGACAGCCCACAAUGAAAGACCGGAUUCUUCCAUGUUUAGAGCGAAUUCAGAAACUGGAGAAAAGUUAUGAGGAUAUCCGGAACAAACCCGUUGCCAUACCUGUGGAGAAGGAGAGAAUGUUGAUGGAUUCGUUAGAAAGAAUCAAGUCGGUUGAGUUUGAUCUCGAUAAAACAAAGAGGGUACGAUACCUUUCUUAAAUGUCUUAACCUUCAAACUUAUAUAUUCAGUAUGGGGACUUAAAAUAUUUUCAUUGCAUGGUUGCAGCUUUUACACGUCACUGUGAUGAAACAGAUGGAGAUAACUGAAAUGCUGCAAAGUUUGCGAGAUUCCCAACUUCACGUAAGUACUUAUUGGUUCAGUAUAGCAACAAACACAUCUUGAUGAGAUGACUUUAACACUCGAGAUUGUUGUUUUUGCAGAGAAGAAGAAGAUUGUUCUGUUAAAAGCCUUAAGAGAACAUCUGAGUUUUGCACAAAUACCAAUCUGCACAUACAGCGAGAGAAAGAGAGAACAGAUCCCGAUAACAAAACACAUGUUAGGUUCUUUAGCUCCUUCCCUACUCUAACUUGGUUCACAACUUUUUUCUCUUUUUUUAAAUAGGUCCCUCUGCUUCUACUUUUUUAAGUUAUAAAAGAAGAAGAAGAAGAAGAUAAGGACAGAGAAAACCUCUGAGGAUCAGUCAUGUCUUUGAUAAUUUAGAUUGAAAUCAGAGUUUGAAGUACCAAACCCUUUUGUUUGUAAUCGGUGUAGAUAAGAAACUACACUAUGCUAAACAAAUGAGAUUUUGUAAAUCCUUUUUAAGGGUAUUUUGAUAAUGAGAAUACACUACGAGUCUCUGAAGAACCAAUUUGUUUAACAUUCAUUUCUGAUGAUUCAUAGAGCAAAACGAAUCAUCCCUCUAAGCUUAUGCUAUCGUGACGACGCUACCAUAAGAUAGAUAUAUAUUUGAAGAACCAAGUGCAAGAGUUUGAUAGAGCACUCGUGGAGUGGAGGCAAUAUGUAUGUAGAUUGGGAUCAAAGUUUUAAGCACCAAAACCUUUUUUGUUGUAAUCGGUGCUGUAGAUCACAGUAUUAAGUCACUAAAGCUAGACAAAUGAGAUUGUGUUUAAACCAAAACACAUAUACAACAUGAGAUUUUGCAAAUCUUUUUAGUAGGCAUUUUUGAUAAUGAGAAAGUUAAACAUUUAAGAGUCUCUGUAGAAUCCGCGUUUGUUUGACAUAAUAGAAGCAAACUAUAGCAUAAAAUGAUUAAUUGAGAAUCUGAUCUUCCAAGUGGAUUUUGCAGUUGUUAAAUUUUUUUAUAUGAUUUGAUUAGAGAGAGUGUUUUUUUUAAAAAUUGCAUAAUAAUAUGAUAUGAUCUUACGAAAGCAGCGAGGUAAAAGACAAAACAGCCCUCGUAAUCAGAACCACUGUAAAUACGAAUUAUGAAAGGGUAAAACCGUCAACUAAAUGUCACAUAUGUAUGUUUUGGAUUAACUGUUAAGAAAGAAAAAAUAAAGGAAAUUUAAAAAAAGGAAAAAACUGAGACCGUCCUUUUCCACUGUGGUGAACAAACCCCAAAGAUAAAUUUCGCUAUUCCUCUCUCUCUCUCUUCUUCUUCUUCUUCUUCUCCGUUCGUGUUCUGAACUCGCUCUCCAUCGAUCCGAUGUUAUUUUAUGCAACUCGAAACUUAAUUUAGAUUCAUUUUUUCUUUUUCCUGGAUUCCGCUAGACAAAUCCGUUUUGAAUUGCACGAAUUGCUUCUUCGCCAGGUGAAUCUAUCAUCAAUCCUAGGUUUUCUCCGCCUUUGAUUAUAUUUUUCUGUUCAUGUUCCUGAGUUUUUGGAAUUGAUAUUUCGGUUGUUAGGGUUUGUGCUUUUGAGGCUUAUUCAUAAUUGGUUUCGUUUCUCCUUCUUCGAUUAUGUCGGUAGUUUAGGUUUCUUCGAGCAUGGACUUUGAUUUAUGAUUGCAUAAUCUCUCAUGGAGUCCUGAUCUUCUACUUGAUUGUCCACUUCAUACGAUUUGAUGUUAGGAGUUUUUAAGUUUAAUCUCUUGGUGAUUUUGGAUUCUACUCUACUGUAGCUUUAUGUGGUCCAUUGCUUUCGGAUUUCAUUAACAAUAACGGUGCUUUUCGGCUAUGAUGAUGCAGGUCCCGUUUUUGUUUUUAUCAACUGAAGAAUGUCCAAUUACCAAGGGGACGAUGCUGAGUAUAUGGAUGAUGUUGAUGAUGAAAUGGAAGAUGUUGAUGAUGAUUUCGAUGAGGAUUUUCGUGGCGAUGAUCUGGCUGAAUCUGAUUCCGAUGUCGACGAGUUUGACUACUCUGUAAGUAUCCCUUUUUUGAAAUUUAUAGCACCAAUAUAGACUAAUAAUUAUUCUGCAAUCUCUCUUACUCUGUUGUGUGGAUUCUUUCUUUUGUAUUCAGAAUAAUAAAAUAGCUGAUACUUCAGCUGACCAAGCCCGGAAAGGGAAAGACAUCCAGGGGAUUCCUUGGGACAGGCUUAGUAUUACGAGAGAGAAGUACAGACAAACUAGACUAGAACAGUAUAAAAAUUAUGAAAAUGUCCCUAAUUCUGGGGAAUCCUCAGGGAAAGUAAGUCUUUCAUUCAGCUUGUUGUCAACAUGUUUCAUGUAUAUUGAUUUCAAUUGUUACAAUUUUAUUUGUUGCUUAUUGAACACAGGAUUGCAUGGUCACACAGAAAGGGGCCGUUUUUUAUGAUUUCUGGCGGAAUACAAGAUCUAUCAAAUCAAGUAUUCUUCAUUUCCAGGUUCAUAUCAUUGAAGCAAUAUAUAAUUUUUUUUUUCUGUCGAUGUUCUUUUGGUAAUUUUAAUCUGUAUAUCAUGUGUAUCGGUAAUGAGGCUGUAUGCAAUUCGUAGAACGUUUAUUCUGCUAAAAACUUCUCUACGCGUACAUCUAAGUAAAGGUCUUUUUCGUUGGAUUGUAGUUGAGGAAUUUGGUUUGGGCAACUUCUAAGCACGAUGUCUACCUCAUGUCACAAUAUUUGGUGAGCCACUAUUCUACUUUGACAUCUGGAAAGCAUGAAGUUCUCAAUGUUCAAGGUCAUGUUUCCCCAUCCGAGGUUAGUUUGUUCCAGAAUGCUAAAAGGCUCUUCCUUUAAUACCUACAUAAAUUAAUAGUGGUUCUUUGUUCUUGUGUGGGUGCAGAAACAUCCUGGAAGUUUGUUAGAGGGGUUUACGAAGACUCAAGUGAGUACACUUGCAGUGAGAGAUAAAUUUCUAGUUGCCGGCGGAUUUCAAGGAGAACUUAUAUGCAAGGUAAGCUCCAGGGUUUCUACUAAUCAUGGAAUUCGGACAACAAUUACACACAAGCUAAUCAAGGAACUUACAUCUAUUCUUGAUUCAGCAUCUUGAUAGACCUGGUGUGAGCUUUUGUUCACGUACAACUUAUGAUGACAAUGCUAUAACCAAUGCGAUUGAGAUUUAUAACAAGCCCAGGUAUUUGCAUGUCUUUUGCUUGGGGUUGUUUUUGCCAACUUGUACGACUUACAUCUUCUAACUGGCCUUUUGGCGCCUGUCUGUUGCAGUGGGGCGCUUCAUUUCACUGCCUCGAAUAAUGAUUGUGGAGUCAGAGAUUUUGAUAUGGAGAGAUACCAGCUUGUUAAUCAUUUCCGCUUUCCUUGGCCGGUGAAUGUAAGUCUCUACUUGUUUCUUGAUUUUUUGGUAUUGGCUUUGGUAUAAGCUGACAUGUAGCACCUGUGGUAGUAAGUUUCAGUUACAAUUACGUUAUUGGAUCUCUCAUUCCUCUUUUACAUUACAAAGUCAUAUAAAGAAUGGGUAUUAGUUGACAUGUAGGCUGUAGAACUUCUGGCUGUAAGUUUCAGUUACAAUUAUGUUACGGAAAUCAUUUGACUAAAUGGGUUUUUUUUUUUUGGUAUUGAACAGCACACAUCUCUAAGUCCUGAUGGUAAAUUAUUGACGAUUGUGGGAGACAACCCAGAUGGCCUUUUGGUCGACCCCAACACAGGAAAGGUACAUAUAUGAUCUCUGUGUUUAAGUAUCCCGGCAUAAAUUUGCUUUUCUUACUCAGUUUGGAAUAUUCGACAGACGCUGGGAACGGUAUCAGGACAUUUGGACUUUUCCUUUGCAUCGGCAUGGCAUCCAGAUGGGCUCACUUUCUCAACGGGUAACCAGGACAAGACCUGCAGGGUUUGGGACAUUCGCAACCUGUCAAAAUCUGUUGCUGUCUUGAGGGGUAACCUUGGAGCAAUCCGAUCCAUCCGCUACACAUCGGAUGGGAAAUACAUGGCCAUGGCUGAGCCGGCUGACUUUGUCCAUGUGUACGAUGUCUCAAACGGGUAUGAAAUGGAGCAAGAGAUUGACUUCUUCGGGGAGAUCUCGGGAAUAUCCUUUAGCCCUGACACAGAAGCGCUCUUCAUUGGUGUUUGGGAUCGCACUUAUGGAAGUCUGAUUGAGUAUAACAGGCGCCACAACUACUCCUACCUUGAUUCAUAUCUAUAAUCACCCGACAUGUCAGAGGAAUAAAAGAGCCUAUACAUAUGUGCUGCACUCUCCUGUCGCUUUGUUAGACUGAGAAACCCGAGAACAAAAAAAAAACAUAAAACUCAAGUGGAUCUCAAAUGCUGUAAAUGAUGUGUUGUGCAAGUGCUAUUAGGACAGAGAGCCGAUUUAGUUAGUUGAUUUUCAUUUAUCGAGUGUUGAAAAGUUCAUGUAUGUGUACAUAUGUGUUGAGCUUCGGCGAGUUUGCUGCAUGGUUCGAGCCUGUGGCUUGUUUGUUAUCUGGCUACGGUCAGUUGUAGGUACUCAAUUUCAGAGUUGAUUCUGCCGAUUGUUGGAUUAAUUAUAUUAUAAUGGUUUCAUAACUAUAUGAUCCUUUUACGUGUGCGUAAUAUAUAUAGGUGGGUGAACAACUAAACUAAAUCGAUUGAACAAGAAAACACCAAGGUCGUAUAAGUAAAACCGCGUGAACAAGAGGGGCUUGAAGGCAAUUAUAUUUUCCUGAAAAUCUUAUAAUCCAGAAAGAACCAACGAGAGAAUGCCACAUCAUCCAUCCGUAAUCGUAUCCUCACAAACAAAAUCUUGCAUCUGCUUCAUCUCCCAUUAGGUGCUCUCUCCCUAGAAGCCAAACUCAAGAUCAUAAAUCCAAACCACUCAUUUCUCCUUUGCUGAAAAAAUUUCUUGGAGAAAGAAGAAGAAGCAUAAUGGCUACAAGCGCAUCUGCAUUGCUCUCACCAACCACAUUCUCCACUGCCAUCUCUCAUAAGAACCCUAACACCAUCUCAUUCCAUGGCCUUCGUCCUCUCCGUCUCGGUGGCUCAUCCUCCUCCGCCUUACCCAAACUAUCAACCACCUCCGGAAGAAAAUCGUCCUCCGCCGUCGUGAGAGCUGAGCUUAGCCCUUCCGUGGUCAUAAGCCUGAGCACAGGUCUCUCCCUCUUCCUCGGCCGUUUCGUCUUCUUCAACUUCCAGAGAGAGAACGUAGCGAAACAGGUACCGGAGCAGAACGGGAAAACCCACUUCGAAGCUGGAGAUGACCGUGCUAAAGAGUACGUCAGCCUCUUGAAAUCAAACGAUCCAGUUGGAUUCAACAUCGUCGAUGUUCUUGCUUGGGGUUCUAUUGGACACAUCGUUGCUUACUACAUCUUGGCUACUUCCAGCAAUGGGUACGACCCCAGCUUCUUUGGCUGAUUUAUCCCAUCUCUCUCUCUCGUAUAUGUAUAUGUUUGACUUGUUCCGCAAGCUAUCUAAUCUAUUCUCUAUCUCUGUUUCUUCAUAUUCUUCUGUUGUUGUUGUUGCUGUCCAAGACUUCUCCCUCCUUUUGCAACUAUUUUAUUUCGCCAUUUACAAAAUUUAAGAAGAAGAAUGGAAACAUAGAUGAAAUUACAUUUUCUUAUUACUCUCAAUAUUUCGAUUUAGUUUGAGCUAAUUGGUCUGAGAACAUAAGUGAUUUCGUUAAGCUAAUCUCAUACCUAAAGAGUCUAGGAUGUUCAAAAUUUGAGAAGAUACAACCAAUGUUAUAAAGCUGAGAUGAUAAAACCUUCUGAAUCCUUAUGAUUCACAUCCUCAAUGUUAAAUCCAAUGUUAUAAACUGACAAAAUAAAACCAAAUUUAAAAAUCUGACAAGAUAAACCAUUGUAAUAGAGAGGGUAGUGUCUAUAGAAAAGCAAGUCUGAAUCCUUAUGAUUCACAUCCUCAACCAAAGAUGAGUUGGCAUGUUUUUGAACCUCGAGAAGAAAGUGACAACUCCUGGAUCAUCACAUCCACUGUGUCUGCAGCAUAAGAUGGCGCAAACAAGAUUGUGGCAGUCUUUAAGCAGAGAGCAUUUCUCAAGAUAUAUUUAGCCACAUUCAUCUGGUUCUGCAAUGCGUACAUCUCAGUCCACUUGAAAGUCUCCACACUUGACAACAAACAUCUAGGAACACUGUUCAGUGCACUGUCCCAAUUAUUUGGAAAUUCCACACGCCGGUCUGGAUGAUACUGAGACCAAACAUGAGACUUUAGAUUAAUAACUAUAGUAAUAAUAUUAAAGCAACAGGAUAUGUCUCUUACAUGAGAAAACUUACAUCUAUCAGAUAGGUCUCAAUCUCUCGUAAAUUAGGAGAAUCCUUGAGUAGCCGAGCAAGUGAAAUUGAACAACUUGAAUCACAUGAACAUAUCUUCAGAUGUUUGAGAUGGUUGAAGACAAUACCCUCGCUAUAUAAAGCCUGCACAAGAUAACAAAAGAUUCAACCUCAAGAAAACACUUGAGAUGGUUCAAAAACAAUAUUGAUGGAUGGAUGGAUAGAAACAGAUUUACCGGUUCGAUGUAGACUCCUAAGCAUAAAGAAAGCCGCGUAACAGAUGUGAUUGAUCCAAAAAACCUUUUGAUGUUUUGGAAUGUCAGUACGAAACCAGCCUCCUCCAACUUCGGCAUAUCUUGAAAUGAGUAGGAGAAUAUAGGACUAUCACUAUCAUUCUCGUCUUCACUCUCACUCUCUAGCCUAUGAUCAGUGACUUCCAAAUACUUCAGAGAAGGAGUAUUAAUCAUAAUCCCAUCAAGAUAACAAGGACUAUACAUCUUUAGGGUUAGUCUCUGCAAUGACUUGACCAUCACUAUCAAUUUCUCCAAGUUGUCAAUUUUAUCUCGUUCCACAAAUAGAUCCUCAAGAACAGGGCACUUAGACAGAAGUUGGUGAAGAGAAUUUUCACACGAGUAGGUCACACGUCGAAGGGACAAAGUUUUGAGGGAGGGGAGACAUACCAUAGGAUGCACAGACACGAAAAUGUCGUCGUCCAGUUUCAAGAUCACAAGCGAUUUGGAGACAUACAAGUUACUAGGCAAUUUAGUUUGACUAUUGGCAAAAGAAAAAAGCUUAAGACUUAACUCACGGACGCAGAGGAGAACUGCAAGUGAAACCCACAGUGUGAUAUAUUUAGGUUUGAUUCCUCCAAUUGCUCCAUGGCUAAACUUGAGACGCAAGCUUUCGAGAGCUUUAUGUAAUGGCAGAUUCAAAUCAAUAAAUUCCCGUAACAUCUGGCCUUGAGGCACUGAAAAGUCACUACAACGGUACUCAAGCUUAGGCAGCCACAUCCAAAGAACCUCCCUCCGCUUGGAUAGAAGACUUGUGCUUACAGCCUCUUUUGUUGGAAGAAAUGAUAUAUAGUACCUUCACAAGCACCUCAUCAGGCAACGAACUGAUCUUGUCCAUAUCUUCACAAUCUGCACGUUUCUCUUCGUUGGUCAUAACCCACUAAGGACUUGUAGAUCUAUAAGAAACUUGGAAUCUGGCCGAGUAACCAAGAACAAUAUAUAUAUAGCCAACACAACACAAGAGAGAACAUAGACAAGAUAAAUAAGAAACUCUUCUCUUGUGAAAGUAGGCUUAAUAGUCAGGCUUAUAGAGAAGAACAAAAAGUACGCUUCUCUAGGACCGGCUUUAAUAUGAAUGAUUUAAUGCCUUGCAUGCCUAGGGCAAACGAAACGAUUUCUUCUCUUAAUUAAUUUUCUUAAUGAAUAAAAUAUGAAGGAAAGCUUUUCCAAAUUUACUGAGCAUAAUAAACAUAUUGUUACUGUCGUCCCAUUCAUGUAAAUCUCUUGAGUAAAAGAUAUAUACCUACAAGCACCCGUUCAAGUUCUAUAGAGAUAACCCAACACUUCAAGCAUAAAGUUUGGCAUAUAAUUUAGAUUUCAGGAUUAUAAUAAUAAAGUUCAAACAAAACACAAAGUUGAAUGAAAGAGUUGCCCUACGGGCAGUUCUACAACUUAUUAUUAAACGCAAGUUCUCAUAACAGAAAAUAUAAAGUAACACCAAACCAAGAAGACAACCAUUGAGAAACACUACUCACUUGUACUUGCAACUGCAUCCAUGCCAGCUACAGUUUCCAUUGCCUCAGUCGCAGCUACAGUUUCCACUGCUUCAGUCCCGGCUUCAGUUUCCGCUGCAUUGGUGGCAGCUACAGUUUCUACAACCUCGAUCCCAGGUAUAGUUUCGGUUUUAACAGUAGCAGCGACAGUUUCCACAGCAUUGAUCGCAGCUAACAACUCCAUGCUAACCCUCUACUUUUUCUUAAGAUAUUUCUCUUCAUAAUCCUGUUUAACAAUCAUAAACCAAAUUCAUUACAUCUCAUUUUCGAGAAAAAUAAAACUUAGAUGAUCAGAAUGUGUUACCUGUUUAUCAGAUUCAGAGAGAUUGCUCCACAUCUUCCCAAUUUCCUUGGUGAGAGAUCCCUUUGCUCCAGUACCCAACUCGCCUUUAAGCUUAGCGCAUUGCUCGGAAAAGAAGAAGUUAUAAGCACUUCUUGGUGGCUUAGGUCGCUGAGGACCCUCCUGAUUAUGAGAUGUUUUGACUCUCUUAUUCUUGUGUCUUUGAGUUUUCGGAGGCGCUUGAUCACGCAUCUGGAAUAUCACUCCUCUGAGCUCUUCCGAGCCCAUCUUCACUUUUAUAAAAUAACCGUUUUCGAAUUUCCCAUCGAUGACCCCAUUAAACACAAAUCCAGGUUUCGCUUCUUCAACUGCUGAAAUAUUUUCAGGAAACAAAUCACAACACUCAAAAUAAGAUUAAAAGAAAAAGAAAAAAGAGAGACCAAAAAAUAGGAUAUUUAAGUACCCAUGUCGUCAUGGAUUGCAGAUUUCUCAACAAGCCGCAUUAAUGCUUUUUCUGCCAAAAAAAGACGAACAAAGUAUAUAUUAAUAUCUCUGAUCAUUUUGGAGAACUAUAUUAGAAAGAGAGACAUAAUUAAGAAAACUCCUUUGGUAUUUUCAUACCUCUACUCGGAAACUCAGAAAGUGGAGCUUUGAAGUAAUACACAUGCUCAAAUUCGAAAAGCAUUUGCAGAUAAUUUUUCCUUAGAACACCUACUGCAUUUGAAAUUGUUGUCUUGAACUGGAAUGCAUCCAUCACUUCUUUGCAUCUACGAUCCCUGAUCACCUAGAUAUUGAUAUAUAAGAUUAAACUAUAAAACAUGAUCGUACGUUCUUGAAUGAAUACUUUAAUGAAUCACAAUAUAUAGCUUCAAAACUUCAAGGUUCAAUGACACUAUUGAAGAACUUGUUACCAUUUCAAGACCACCUCGAGAUGUGACCUCGCAGAAAAGCCGGUGCAGAUCGAGACUGUCUCCACCCACAAUAGGAAUCCUUUUACAAAAUUAAAGGAAAAAAAAAUCAGAAAUAUUCCAAGAAAUAAAAUCUUAUUGAAGAGAAUAAAUCAAGUUAAGCAAAAACAAUCAACAUAUAUAUGAAAAGAGGACCAAAACUAUUCCCAUUUCCCAACAUGUAACUUCUAAAACAAGUUAUUUGCCAUUAAAGGGAACCGAAAAAAGACACACUCCUUUUCUUUUUUUGGAACAAAGAGACACACUCUUAAACCUCUUCAUGGCUUAGCAAAUAUAAAUUUUAUGAAAACCAAAUCAUAGACUGAUUAUGGACUAUUUAUUCAAGAACAAACUAGAUCAAUUUAAUAAACUACAUACACUUGCUUGCCUUAAAGAUAUGUAAACCUAAUAAAUAUGCGUCCAUCUCUUCAAAUGAAUUUCAUAUAAAAUCAUAUUAAAAUAUAUGAGUUAUUUUUUUCUUUUCAAAUUAGUUUUUGGGCCAAGGCCCAUAUACAGUUUUUCUUAGGGAUCACUUUCUAGGGUUUUCAUUAAAAUAAAAAACCGCCGCCCUCCGAACGUUGAACGCUCAAACCUAGAAAACACAUCAACUUAUUCUUUUGAAAGGUGAUGCCUGUGUACACGUCAUUUAUAACACACCACACAAAGGAUCGGGAACAAAAUUGCAGGAACCUCUACUAAAUCCAUCAGUUUAAUGAAGGUUAUGAUUUUUCCAUCCACGAUAAUAAUUUGCAAAUCAGUAGAUUCGUCAAGAACAUAUAGAAUAAAAGUAAAAAUAAUUUAUGACAGGAAAGGAAUAACUCACUUAAAAUUUCUUCUUGAAGAUUUGAAAAAACCUCGUAGCCUAUCCCAGAAAAGUACAGGGUUUUGGACAAGAAUCUGAUACAUUGAUGGACGAGAGGAAUCGCCUUUUUCUAACGCAGAAGAGUCAGCAAGAACCACUUUAACUUGAGAAGGAUCUGUCGACAUAAUUUUGUUUGGAUUGUUUUUUGGUCAAAGGUUAAAAAGUUUUGGUUCAACUUUCAGAAAUAAAAUGACUGUAUUUUAAAAAUCUUCUUAUCUAGAAUUAGAGGUCAAAUAUUUAUAUAAAAAUUUUCUCUUUUUGUCUACACCACAUUGAAAACUACACUACAUCUUUUUACUUUCUUUUUCUUUUUUAACAUAGUCAACACGUUAAUUAAUUUUAAUUUACAGUUUAUAAUAUAAAGUCAAAUUAAUUGUAUUGGGUUUUGAAAGAAAAAAAUGUAGUAAGAGGAAAGGAUUUUAUUGAUAUUAAAAUCUUAAGUAAAGUGAAUGAUUUUUGCUUUAAUAUUGGAAUAAUAUAAAUUGACCGUUAUCGAUUUUGUUAUAUUGUAUUAGUCUUUUUCUGGAAAAAGUUACAAUUGACUUUUUUAUCGUCUAAUAAUAUAUAAAAAAGGAGAAUACAAAGAUGAAGCUAAUAAACGGAAAUAUUAAAACUACAAAAAUUAUGACUAGAACAGAGCCUCACCGUCCACUAUGUCGAUCGCCAUCUAUCCUAGCAUGAAGCCAUACCGGACCUCCUAACGCCAGAUAUGAGGUAAGACGUCCAUCUCGUGUGACGUUGCAUGAUAUGUCCCGUUCCACCGAGUUGGCUUUCGGAGAGGAAAAUAUGAAAGUCGUCGUAUGCAUCUUAUUGAGAAUUUGUUGUAUCUUUACUAGAAGGGGGGCGCGAUAUUUAUGCCACACCAAAAGCUUUUCUAAAGCUGCAACGCAGCUCCACAAUCGGACCACACCUCACACAAAUCAAAGUGUAAAUCAUGAAGACCCCGGAGGCAACACAAGAAACAUUGCAACUCCGCUGCAAUUAUGUCCAUCGACCUAAAAGCGUCUCUAGAAUGGACAAGAACUUCUCCUACUUGGUUACUCAAAAUCCAAGCUCGAAUAGGAAAAAAUUUCAAAUAUUUUCUGUACAUAAUCUUAUUUGGUCAAACAUUUUUUUUAACAAUAAUCAGUUGAAAUUUUUCUAUUAUAGAUAGUAAACUUUACUACAGAAUUAUUUAAGGACCAUCCAUUUUAUGAAACGAGUCUAGCAAAGAUCAGACUUAGGCCUAAUCUAUGGAUCCAUGCUUCAUUUCUAGUUGACCGAUACUCUCUCAUUGGCUCAUUUAGCUGAAAAUAUUUGGUCACAUACAAAAAGAACAAAAAAAAAAUCUCCUUGAAUCUUUUUAAAGUUGAUGUAAAACUAUCUGCGAAACUGUAGCAAACGUACUUGGUUUUACAAAAAAUGUUAUAGUUAGAAUCUUAUUCAUACAAAUAAAGGUUUCAUUUAUGAUUUAUUUACCUAUUUUAAUGUAUUCAAGUAUUGGUGUGAGCAUCUCCAAAGGUGAACCCAUAUUAAGGGUAGACAUUUUCAAUUAAAAUUUAUGAUUUAACUAUAAUUUGUGAAUCUCUUAGGGUUUUUUUAUUUUUUUACCUUUUCCAAUGGUGACAACCUCCCUUUGGAGAUAGUCUUGCUGUUAAUAGUAACAUUAUCAGCUCCAAUGAAGGAAAUUGGAAGGAACAACAACAUCAGUUUCUUGUACGAAGAGGUCUUCAGAAUUCCGUACAACGGCGUGGACCAAACAAAGCAAGACGCUUGCAACGAUGCCAAGAACCAGACCCUGGAGGCAGUUUGCGAACCACAACGCCCAAAGCGAGCCAAGGAUCAACCCGAGGGCGAUCACGCGGUCGUUAAUAUGUCGACCGCACAAGACCAAUGGAUGGUCUCGAUAGAAAUACAGAAGCAGCCACAUGACUGCAGAUGAGGCAACGGUGAGAAGAGAAGUUGGAUCAACGAUCAAGAAGAGUGUAACAAAAGCUGCUGCUAAAAGAAAGUAAUUAACGGCGAAAUGACGGAGGUUGAGUUUAACGCGCGAAGUAGCGGUGGAGAAAGUGGCUGGAUGGUCGAUGGAACCUAAUGCUAGGAAUUCAGACCACCAUGGACGGUAGCUAGAAACACUAGCUAUUAUAUUAUGCAUCGACAUGGCGAUGACAUCACCGGCAGAGAGACUUGUCUCCUCGGCCGUAAUUGGAAGAGUCUCCACCGGUGCUAACAUUGCCUCGCCGGAGAGGACACAAGAGUCAGGACUCCAAUUUUGAGUUCUCUAGUCAACCAAUUUAACCGAAAUUUAAAACAAAAAAAAAGUGCUUCCCACGUUGGCAACGUUAUGGACUGGGCCAGUCAAAUUUAAGGGGCAAGUGGGAACGUUAUGGAUUGGGCCAGUUUAAAUUAAGGGCCCAUAUAAUUCGGGUCGGAUCCUAUCCAAAAGUGUGUGUGAUUCGUUUGGGUUUGGGCGAUUAUCUUCUCAUUUCUCAGACAAGGAGCAGAGAGGCAACAAGACGACUGAGUGGAACUUGAUCGAUUCAGGUUCGUUUAGUUUACCAUUCUACCCUCUUGAACUCGUCUCCCUCGUCAAGGUAAUCGUCGAUUUCAGAUGGGAUUUGUGGAAACGUAGAUUCAAAUUUGCUUUAAUUGCCGAAAUAUAUACUACAGUUUGAUGGGUUUUAGCGAUUUUGGGAAUCCGAGGCUCGCGGUGGUGAGAUUUGCGUCUUUGAAUUUAGGUUUCUCGAGUCUGCUUAGUUCCUUCAAGUGGCAGAGAUGAUGAAGAGAAAUCAAUUUUGUAUUAAACUCAAAUAUGAUGAACUCUGUAAUUCAUUCCGGCACAGGUGCUGUAGUCCGUAAAGCUUCUCGCUUUCUCUUUACAUCGAGGAAAUUUUGCAAUGGUAGCAUCGGUGGUGAUGUAACCAAUAAUGGCAUAGAAGAGCCCAUGAAGGUCACCUGGGAAUCUUCUGAAAUGGAUUGUGGGUUUGACAAGGAGGAACAUGAUGAGAAAAUCUCUGUUAGGAGAAGGUUUUUGGACAGUGCUAAGCUCGGUGCGUCUCGGGUUCUCGAUACGUUACAGCAAGAUUGUCCCGGAUUCAAUACGAAAUCAGCUUUAGAUGAGUUGGAUGUUACAAUCUCAGGGCUUUUGGUGAGAGAGGUUCUUGUUGGGAUCUUAAGGACUCUGAGCUAUGAUAAUAAGACCAGGUGUGCUAAGCUAGCUUACAAGUUCUUUGUGUGGUGUGGUGCACAAGAGAGUUUCAGGCAUACGGCCAAUUGUUAUCACUUACUUAUGAAGAUAUUUGCAGAGUGUGGUGAGUAUAGAGCAAUGUGCAGGCUGAUUGAUGAGAUGAUCAAAGACGGUUAUCCAACAACAGCACGCACAUUUAAUCUGUUGAUAUGUACUUGCGGUGAAGCAGGCCUUGCUAGAGAUGUCGUGGAGCAGUUCAUCAAGUCCAAAACUUUCAAUUACCGACCUUUCAAACACUCCUAUAACGCUAUUUUGCAUUCUUUGCUAGGUGUGAAACAGUACAAGCUGAUUGAUUGGGUUUACGAGCAGAUGUUAGAAGACGGGUUUUCACCAGAUGUUCUGACUUACAACAUUGUAAUGUUUGCAAACUUUAGGUUAGGGAAAACAGAUCGGCUUUAUAGAUUGCUUGAUGAAAUGGUUAAAGACGGGUUUUCUCCUGAUUUGUAUACAUACAACAUCCUCCUCCACCAUCUGGCAACAGGAAACAAGCCUCUCGCCGCUCUUAACUUACUAAAUCAUAUGAGGGAAGUUGGAGUAGAACCCGGUGUGAUCCAUUUCACUACUCUCGUAGACGGGCUUAGCCGAGCUGGGAAGUUAGAAGCUUGCCAAUACUUUAUGGACGAAAUGGUGAAAGUUGGAUGCACGCCGGAUGUUGUUUGCUACACUGUUAUGAUUACAGGAUAUAUUUCAGGCGGGGAGCUCGAGAAAGCUGAGGAGAUGUUCAAAGAGAUGACGGAAAAGGGACAGCUCCCAAAUGUUUUCACAUACAAUUCCCUGAUCCGGGGGUUUUGUAUGGCGGGAAAGUUCAAAGAGGCGUGCUCGUUGCUCAAGGAAAUGGAGUCGAGAGGGUGUAACCCUAAUUUUGUGGUGUAUAGUACACUGGUGAACAAUCUUAGAAAUGCCGGGAAGCUUUUAGAGGCUCACGAGGUAGUUAAGGACAUGGUGGAGAAAGGGCAUUAUGCUCAUUUACUUUCAAAGCUGAAAAAAUAUAGAAGAUCCUAGUUUUUGGUUUUUGUUUCAAAGGCAAUUUUGUGAUAUUGAUUAAACAAAACAAAGUGUAGCUGUUCUCAGUUCUGACGUUCAUUAGGCUUGCCCAGAUAUGUUUCAGCACAGAGAUUAUCUUCCAAAACUAUUAAAUAAAUUUCUAAAGGUNNNNNNNNNNNNNNNNNNNNNNNNNNNNNNNNNNNNNNNNNNNNNNNNNNNNNNNNNNNNNNNNNNNNNNNNNNNNNNNNNNNNNNNNNNNNNNNNNNNNNNNNNNNNNNNNNNNNNNNNNNNNNNNNNNNNNNNNNNNNNNNNNNNNNNNNNNNNNNNNNNNNNNNNNNNNNNNNNNNNNNNNNNNNNNNNNNNNNNNNNNNNNNNNNNNNNNNNNNNNNNNNNNNNNNNNNNNNNNNNNNNNNNNNNNNNNNNNNNNNNNNNNNNNNNNNNNNNNNNNNNNNNNNNNNNNNNNNNNNNNNNNNNNNNNNNNNNNNNNNNNNNNNNNNNNNNNNNNNNNNNNNNNNNNNNNNNNNNNNNNNNNNNNNNNNNNNNNNNNNNNNNNNNNNNNNNNNNNNNNCAAUAUAGGCCCAUAAAUUCUGGCUUGAAUCUUCUAGUUGACAGUGAAGGUUCUCUUUACGACUCCUGCCGCGUGUUUCGUUAUCGAGACGGUAAAAAGUCUCGGAAAUCUGAAUCCGAUCAAAUCUGAACAACACCGGCGACGAAUCUCUGAGCCGUAGAUUUAUAUUUCUUCCCGGAGAACGUACCAUCGUGAAUUGUGAUAGCGAGGAGAUGAUGUAUUGCUAACGGCCUAUUGAAAUCAGAUAUGUCAUCGGGAGGAGCCGGAGAGUAUAACGAAGACAGGCAUCUGUUGCGAUCCACCGGCGAUGAAGACAGCAUUGGUAGAGAGGAUGGUGAUAUCGAUGUUGAAUCUCAGUCUCCGGCUGUCAGAAGUGGAGCGGGAGGAGUUAGGGAUCUGUUUAAGCAUCUGGAUCGGAGAUUUUCACUCUCCGGGCGUCGUUUAAGCUUCAAACGGAUGGAGAAUAACAGAGUCGAUAGAGAGCGCCACAACCCGUCUUCUUCUUCCUCCGCGUUUUCGGCUGCAGAAGAAGAUGGUGGUGGCAUCAGUAAUUUACAUAACGUGGAUGAUCGAAUUGACGAGUACGGAUUUGAUGAAGAAGUGCUCGGAGAUAGUGCUCCACCUGAGUGGGCUUUGCUUCUCAUCGGCUGUCUUAUCGGUGUUGCCGCUGGAAUUUGUGUCGCUGGCUUCAACAAAGGGGUACGGUCAUAGAUCAGAUCUCGAUCUAUGUUGAUUCGAUUGAACACCUUGAUCCUGCUAGCUUUAAUUUACGUUAUACUAUUUUGACUGCUGAUUCAUUAGAGUAGUGCUAUUGUCUAGGUUCAUGUUAUUCAUGAGUGGGCAUGGGCUGGUACUCCCAACGAAGGUGCUGCAUGGCUCCGUCUACAGAGACUAGCUGACACUUGGCACCGGAUUCUUCUAAUUCCGGUCACUGGGGGUGUUAUAGUUGGGAUGAUGCACGGUUUGCUCGAGAUCUUAGACCAAAUCAGGCAAUCCACUUCUUCUCAGCGACAAGGACUAGAUUUUCUUGCUGGUAUUUAUCCCGUGAUAAAGGCCAUCCAAGCUGCUGUGACCCUUGGUACAGGAUGUUCACUGGGUCCUGAGGGACCUAGCGUCGACAUUGGAAAGUCUUGUGCCAAUGGUUUUGCUCUCAUGAUGGAAAACAACAGAGAAAGGAGAAUAGCUCUCACUGCAGCUGGUGCGGCUUCUGGGAUUGCAUCUGGUAUAAUCUACGCCCUACCUUUUUUAAAACAGCUUAUGCACCUUCUGAAUUGAUAUUGAUGUAAUAGGGAUUGCCGAGGCAUGGAACAGCAACAUAGUUCCUUCCUUCACUCAAGUAUAUUAGCACUAGUUAAUUUCGUUAAUAAAUGUCUAUACUAGGUUCCUUGUAUCAUUUUGGCUUAUUGCAAUCUUUAUGGCCCCUCAUUUUUUCGCUCACUUUUCUGGUCCCAUAAUAGGUAUGUACUAUAUAGCCUACAAAUGUGCCAAUUGAUCUUAGGUUCUACUACUAGAAAAAACAUCUUGCUGGGAGUAAUUACUGAAUACUAGUAUAUUUAUGGCUAUUUAAAGUAUGAUUCAUGGGCACUGGUUUUUCUAGCUAAAGAUAAGAGCACUAAGAGAGGCUCUUUGUUUCCUUGUUUUCCCCAGGUAGGGACUCAAUUCGCUUGUUUGUCGUCAAAAAUCUGAUUUAAUUCUAUCUUUAUUCGUGUUACAGGUUUCAAUGCAGCAGUGGCAGGUUGUUUCUUUGCUAUUGAGACCGUUUUAAGACCUCUACGUGCCGAGAACUCGCCUCCAUUUACCACUGCAAUGAUAAUAUUGGCCUCUGUUAUAUCUUCGACUGUGUCAAAUGCACUGCUUGGAACUCAAUCAGCUUUCACAGUUCCCUCAUACGACCUGAAGUCCGCUGCAGGUAUGUUUUUUCAUUGUUAAUCCGUAUUGCAAACCUUCCAGUUAGUAUUAUGGUAUUAUUUUUGUGUAAGAUUCUGAUUUAGUGUCCUGAUGGUUAUGGUAUAAUGUGAUAUAUCAUAAAGAAUCGUGGUAAUUUUAAAAUAAUGAAGGUCAAUAUUUAUUUGCUUCAUCGAGUAUUUGUGUAUAGAUUUACAUAUCUGUUUUCAAUUGUCUCCAGAGCUCCCUCUGUACCUGAUAUUAGGCAUGCUUUGCGGUGCUGUCAGCGUUGUUUUUUCUCGUCUCGUCACCUGGUUUACCAAGUCAUUCGACUUCAUCAAAGAAAAAUUUGGUCUUCCUGCUAUUGUGUGCCCUGCACUAGGUGGUUUAGGAGCUGGAAUUAUUGCUCUCAAGUACCCUGGAAUUUUGUAUUGGGGGUUUACAAAUGUUGAGGAAAUCCUGCAUACUGGAAAGAGUGCUUCAGCUCCUGGAAUUUGGUUAUUAGCUCAGUUAGCCGCAGCCAAAGUUGUGGCUACAGCUCUUUGCAAAGGCUCUGGGCUUGUAGGUGGUCUAUAUGCACCAAGUUUGAUGAUUGGUGCUGCUGUUGGUGCUGUGUUUGGGGGUUCGGCUGCUGAGAUUAUUAACAGAGCUAUUCCUGGUAAUGCUGCUGUUGCUCAACCACAAGCUUACGCUCUGGUAUUGUAUUUCCUUUGUCGCAGGCCUUGCUUCAGUGCAGUUUUAAAAAUAAUUUCAUUACUCUUCAAUUUUGGAUGUCAUGAAAUCUCACUCGUUAAGAUGCUGUCGUUUUAUGUGAUGCAGGUUGGAAUGGCAGCUACACUAGCUUCCAUGUGUUCUGUUCCGUUAACAUCUGUGUUACUGCUGUUCGAGCUAACAAAAGAUUAUAGAAUUUUGCUUCCCCUCAUGGUAAAUAUUAUCUUUCCCGCUUAGUUUCAAUGGUGCAUGUCGUGUAAAUUUGCUUAAGAGGGGUGGGAUUCAUAAAGAUAGUUCUGAUUUUUCUCGUUUAACUAAUCAAGCAGUAAAACCGUGGUAAAACUAUGAAAUGUACCACUUAAGAUGUCACCUGCAUUCUGGUUCAUAUUUUGAUCAAGUUGUUCUUGAUCUGAUCUCUCUGUCGAUUUCUACUAACAGGGAGCAGUUGGUUUAGCUAUAUGGGUUCCUUCUGUCGCAAACCAAGGCAAAGAGAGUGAGUCAUCUGAAGGUCGCAACACUGGAAGAGGAUACUCUUCUGUUUCACCUUUAGAGCGUAAAACGGAAGGUGUAUGGAGACACACGGAUAAUGUUGACUCCCUUGAGCUCACCGUCAUAGAGAGCCCUGACCAUAAAUCCUUUUUGGAUGAGGAAACUAUUCUGGAGGAUUUAAAGGUUUUGCGGGUUAUGUCAAAGAACUACGUGAAGGUUUCUCCAGGAAUGACUUUAAGGGAAGCAAGAAAUAUCCUUAAAGACAGCCACCAAAACUGCCUUAUGGUGGUCGAUGAAGAUGAUUUUCUAGCCGGGAUCCUAACACACGGCGACAUCAGAAGAUACUUGUCCAACAACGUCUCAACAAUCUUAGAUGUAAGAAGUGAAACAAAACAAACCCCCUCAGUCUCGUACUCAUAACUCUGCUCUUUAAAUUACAGUGGACUUGAAAAUAAGUCUAUGUCUCUUGGCAGGAGAAUACAUGCCAGGUUUCUUCAGUGUGUACUAAGAAUAUAAUCUACCGAGGCCAAGAACGCGGUCUGCUUACUUGUUAUCCAGACGCGACGGUUGGAGUAGCCAAAGAGUUGAUGGAGGCAAGAGGAGUGAAGCAAUUACCUGUAGUAAAACGAGGUGAAGUAAUUCACAAAGGGAAAAGAAGGAAACUGCUUGGCCUUCUUCACUAUGACUCUAUUUGGACUUUUCUCAGGUAACAGAAGAAAGAAAAAAAAAAUCUGUUUUUACUCAAAAGUUAACCAAAGCCAAAGUUGUUAACCUUUGGUUGGUUGUUUUUUCACGCAGAGAUGAAAUGAGUCGGAGGAGAUCGAUCAACGACCGGAGAAAAGACAAAGAGGUUGGUGCAAAUGGGCAUUGAUUGGGUUUGUGCCCAUUUUGGUAUAGCUUUUUCUUUUCUUAAUUUUUGAGGUCCAAUUGAUUAUUAUAACGAGGAAAACAUGAUCGUAAAAAUAAUAUUAAUAGUAAUACACCUCUUUCUUAGUUUUGAAAAUCAUUCGUCUCACACCAACGUAAAACACACUACUCAUAUCAUAUGGAUUAAUCCAUCAGAAGAAAUCAAAUCAGUAAAUCUCUAAAAUUCUGGUUACUACUAUCGCAAUUGUUCACGUUACAUUAAUUUAAUGAUACGCUAGCUCAUGUUUGAAAUUUGUUUUUACUAAAUAAAUUUACUUAUCAUUUGCAUGAAUGUGAUGUACAACUGUUAGAUUAUAAGUUGGGAUUUAAAAUGUUACUAAUCUUGAUGAGUAAAUCAUAAACAGAAGAACAAGAUCCACAAAGAUAGCGUAAUGACUGAUAAUGGACCCUAUGAUUUUGCACUGAAAAGAGCUUUUCUUUUUUUGGCAGUUACAUUGUUAAGAAAACAAAAAAAAAGAUAAAAGGAGAAAAUUUUGUAAACAGUUGACUAAAUUGAUUGGAAUGUGAUUGGAUUUUGUUGGUCAUGUAUUGGUUUAAGUGGGUGCGACGAAAUUUUUUAAAAAAUUGCUAAGCUUUUUCUUCAUGAUUAGGUCGGUCCUUAAUGUCAAACAAAAUGUAUAAACAUAAUCAUUUUUCCAUAUGUGAUCUAAUUAAAAACAGCUAUAACAAAACUAGCUAGAAAAAAAAACAAUUUUAAUAUUCAAAUGUUUGAUCUCCCGAUUAAUAUGUAAACUUUUUAUUUUGAAGAGAUCAUAUAACUAAAUAGACAUGCAUGAAGAGAUCAAUUUCCUUUACCUGAUGUUAAUAAUGAUAUGUUGGAGACCAUUCAAAUGUCUUUUUCCGCCUUUUUUUAUAUUUCUUCUUUCACAAGUCAUCAUAUACUAAUUAAAAAGAAAAAUACAUAAAUAUAUACACAUACAAAAAAGGUGAUUGUAAUUUAGACAAAUAAGACGAAUAAUAAUAAUAUUGGAUUGAUUAGGAUAAGCGUCAUCAUUAGAAAAAUAGUCGUUUUCAUGGAGUCAUCAUCCACCUUUCAUUACACACACACACAUAACUAAUUACACAGUAUUUUCAUCUGUUUCUUAUAAAUUGAUGUUUUGAAAAGAAAAAUUAAAAAACCUAAAAUGGUAUUUUACUUUUUUCACAUAUUAUCAUGUUAUCGAAUGAUUUAUAUUUUCUCUUCCACGAACAAAUAAUUAUAAAUUAAUAAAAACUUAAAUUUGUUCUUAAGAAGUCUGACGUGUUUUACUAGAUAUAAGAAAUUAGGAGAGUGCAAUUUUUUCUUCUUUCAAAAAACACUAUACAGUAUACACUUAAUAUUGUAGUCCUUGAAUAAUUGAAUAAUCACACACUAAUAGGUACAUAAAUAUAGAAAAUGAGUGGGCACGUUGGGAGAAAAGAAUCUUUUAGAGUAGAAAGAAAAAAGAGGUCACAAAAAUAAAAUAUGCGCUCGUGCGGAUGAGAGAGAGAAGAAUACUGACAAAUAUAUUGGUACACGGCCCAACUCUACGGCCCACGCGCGACGAAACAUGUUUCCGGCUUUUAAUAAAAGAACCCCUUCUUAUUUUAUUUCUCUUAUUAUCUACCCUUUUAUUAUUAAUUUCAUUUCCUAGGUCCCCUUUUGUCUUUUUCCUCACUCAAUCUUGUCAUUUACAUUGGGAUAUCACACAAGCUAUAUCAUUUUCAUAUCACACUCUAGUAUUUAUUUUCUUUCUCUCUCUGUUUUCUAUGUGUAUAAACUAUGUUCUUUAACAUUUCAAGAAGUUUGUUUGUUUGUUUUAUUCGGUAAUCUAUACUCUAUAGUUUAUUUUACCUAUAAAUAUCAUGGAGUAUUGUAUUUUCUUAUGUAUGUAUUUUAAAAGUUGUAUUCAUCAAAUUAAACUUUUUUGGCAUUUAGAAUAAAAAUUUGGGCAAGUGUUUUAUUUUCAUAUAUAACAUAGACCUUGAAUUAGGUCUGGCAAACACUUAUUAAACUUGUUCUAUCUAGUUGAGUACUCAAAUAUCUAAUGUAGAUACAUGGGGUUAGGUAAAGACAUUGGAUAAAAGGCUAAAGUGGCAAAAAAGUGAACCGGCAACUACAUAAACAAAUGCAAAAAUCAGGGACACAAAACUAAUAAACAAAAAAGAAACUAGGACCAAAGGACAAUUAAGAAAAACAUUUGAAGCAUUCUUUAAAUAAGCUAGUGCUUUGUGCCGUGUAGGGUUAGAAAGUUGCACAAAUGCGUAGAAACAUACACAUACGAGAGAACUAAGGAGAAAAGGUAGAGCUUUAUCGUUAUUAUCGUCAAAACUUAAAUCAUAUUUUUAUAGUAUUAGGUUGGAACUUAGGAGGAGGGGUUACUAUUUUUACAUGGGAACGAGAGAGACCUACAUAAGGCUAUACGUGCCGUUUAAUUCAUCUAAACCCCCAAAAAAUGUUAGAUAAAGGCAGAGAUAAUUGUUUAUUUCGAACGUUAAUGAAUCGAAUCCAAGUGUUUGGAAAGUCCAAUUUGAGAUUUAUCACCAACGGGCAAAAGAGAACUAUUGGUUGUACCAUAUUUACAGAUAACUAAUAAGAGUGAUUUAUCCCUAAGUAUCUCACAUUUUUGUCUGGUAUAAACUAAUUUAGUUUGAUUUGAUGACAACUCAUUAUUAGUAGAAUAUGUGUACACUGAGAGGGUCUAACUUUUGAGUGAGUGAACAUAUAUAUAUAUAUAUAUUUUGUAAAUUAGAAUUAAUACAAGAUUGAUAAUUAGAAAGAGAUUAUAAAGAGGAAAUUAAUCUUUAGUAUCAUGAUUAUGUUUUCUCUUCUUUUCUGUAGGAUUUCUAAUUUAUAUAUAUAUCUUCAUUUAUCUACUUUUCCUUUUUUCUUGCCUUUUUUAAUUAAUUUUUUGGUUCUCUAUUGCUUUUGCAAAUUACCCCACCAAAGAGAAAAUUAUAAAAUAAAUAAAAGAAAUAGUAAUUCGCUUUACAAAUUGGACCUUUGAUAUUUUUUUCUUUCCAAACAGAGAGACUAUUAAGAAACCAUAAUUAACGCCUCAAUUACGCAAAGAUUAAAGGAAGAUCUUUUUUCUUUUCUUCCGGGGAAAAAACCACCUUUGUUUUGUUUUUUUUUGUCUUCCCUCAUAAUAUCUUUUUUUUUCUGGGUGAUGUUCGUGCACUUCUCUCUGUGUACUGCUACGGAAUCUUAAACCAUCUGGUUUUGGAAAGACAAGAAAAAAUCUGAACUUUGUUGUUGUUUUUUUUUAUAUAUAAUUCCGACCAGUUCUGCAACAUCGUACUUGAGCAGAAACCGUAUCUAAAAAUACGAUCUAUGCUGUCUUCUUCAUCAGCGGAACUCUGUCUCUGUCUUCUUCAGUCAAACUUGGUCAUCUUCUUCUUGAACAAGGUUCCAUAUUUAGCUAGAUUUUUUCAUUGAAAAAGAUUGUUUCUUUUUGUUACUAUUCUCAAAGCUUAUUCUUUUUUUUUUGCAGAGGAGCUGAGCACAGUGGAGAUUUAAUCGAACACUUGGUGUGCCGAUGAAGCAAAAAUGGAUGUUUGUGUUGAUCCUCUGUUUCUUUACGGCGUUGGGCAUUCAUGGAAAAAGACUAAUCAACUCCGACUUCGACGAAACUGCUCUUCUAAUGGCUUUCAAGCAAUUCUCUGUGAAAUCUGAUCCCAAUAACGUUCUUGGUAACUGGAUAUACGAGUCGGGUCGUGGUUCAUGUUCUUGGCGAGGCGUUUCCUGCUCUGACGACGGUCGAAUCGUCGGACUAGAUCUCCGAAACGGUGGAGUCACCGGAACACUAAACCUAGCUAACCUCACGGCGUUGCCUAAUCUCCAGAAUCUUUACCUACAAGGAAACUAUUUCUCCUCUUCCUCUGGAGGAGAUUCAUCGUCUGGUUCUUAUUGUUAUCUUCAAGUUCUGGAUUUGUCUUCGAACUUGAUCUCAGACUACUCAUUGGUGGAUUACGUUUUCUCAAAAUGUUCGAAUCUGGUUUCUGUGAAUUUCUCAAACAACAAGCUCGUCGGGAAAUUAGGUUUUUCUCCGUCGUCGUUGAAGAGCUUGACGACUGUUGAUUUCUCUUACAAUAUCUUAUCGGAGAAGAUCCCUGAGAGUUUUAUCUCAGAGUUCCCGGCGUCGUUGAAGUAUCUUGAUCUCACUCAUAACAAUUUCUCCGGCGAUUUCUCCGAUUUAAGUUUCGGGAUAUGUGGGAAUCUCAGCUUCUUCAGUCUAUCACAGAACAAUAUCUCCGGCGUUAAAUUCCCGAUUUCUCUACCGAACUGCAGAUUCCUCGAGACGUUGAACAUCUCUCGGAACAAUCUCGCCGGAAAAAUCCCCGGCGGAGAAUAUUGGGGAAGUUUCCAGAAUCUAAAACAGCUCUCUCUAGCUCACAACCGUUUCUCCGGCGAAAUCCCACCGGAGCUUUCUCUACUCUGCAAAACAUUAGAGACUCUUGAUCUCUCUGGAAACGCUCUCUCCGGCGAGCUCCCUUCACAGUUCACCGCCUGCGUCUGGUUACAGAACCUUAAUAUCGGAAACAACUACCUCUCCGGCGAUUUCUUAAGCACCGUCGUGAGUAAAAUCACCGGAAUCACUUAUCUAUACGUUGCUUUCAACAACAUCUCAGGCUCUGUUCCGAUUUCACUCACCAACUGUACAAACCUUCGUGUUCUUGAUUUAAGCUCAAAUGGUUUCACCGGAAAUGUACCUUCUGGUUUAUGCUCUCUGCAAAGCUCGCCGGUUCUUGAAAAGCUUCUCAUAGCCAACAAUUACCUCUCAGGAACAGUUCCUGUGGAGCUUGGUAAAUGUAAGAGCUUGAAGACAAUUGAUCUCAGCUUCAAUGAGCUUACUGGUCCGAUUCCAAAAGAGGUAUGGAUGUUGCCGAGUCUGUCGGAUUUAGUUAUGUGGGCGAACAAUCUCACUGGAAGUAUCCCAGAAGGUGUUUGUGUUAAAGGUGGGAACUUAGAAACUAUCAUCCUCAACAACAAUCUCUUAACCGGUUCUAUCCCUCAGUCGAUCUCAAGAUGCACCAACAUGAUCUGGAUCUCUCUUUCAAGUAACCGUCUGACCGGGAAAAUCCCUAGUGGAAUCGGUAAUCUUUCCAAGUUAGCAAUCCUGCAGCUGGGGAACAAUUCUUUGUCCGGAAUCGUUCCACGCCAGCUCGGGAACUGCAAGAGCUUGAUUUGGCUCGAUCUGAACAGCAACAAUCUAACCGGGGACCUCCCUGGUGAGCUAGCUAGCCAAGCGGGGUUAGUAAUGCCCGGGAGUGUUUCAGGUAAACAAUUUGCGUUUGUGAGGAACGAAGGCGGAACAGACUGCAGAGGUGCAGGGGGGCUAGUAGAAUUUGAAGGCAUUCGCGCAGAGCGAUUAGAGCGGUUACCAAUGGUUCAUUCAUGUCCUGCGACACGGAUAUACUCAGGCAUGACAAUGUACACAUUUUCUGCAAAUGGAAGCAUGAUCUACUUCGACAUCUCGUACAAUGCGGUUUCGGGUUUAAUACCUCCUGGUUAUGGUAACAUGGGCUAUCUCCAGGUCUUGAAUCUGGGACAUAACCGGAUAACUGGAAACAUCCCUGACAGUCUUGGAGGACUGAAAGCCAUUGGUGUUCUCGAUCUAUCUCACAACGAUCUUCAAGGCUACUUACCCGGAUCGCUGGGAUCGCUCUCUUUCCUCAGUGAUCUCGAUGUCUCUAACAACAACCUCACUGGUCCAAUCCCAUUUGGAGGUCAGCUUACAACAUUCCCUGUCUCAAGAUACGCAAACAACUCUGGCCUAUGUGGUGUCCCUUUGCGCCCGUGCGGUUCAGCUCCUAGGCGGCCCAUUACCUCCAGUGUCCAUGCCAAGAAGCAAACUCUUGCAACCGCUGUGAUUGCUGGAAUCGCAUUUUCUUUCAUGUGCCUUGUGAUGCUAUUUAUGGCGCUUUACAGGGUGAGGAAAGUUCAGAAGAAGGAACUGAAGAGGGAGAAAUACAUUGAGAGCCUUCCAACUUCGGGAAGUUGCAGCUGGAAGCUCUCUAGCGUUCCUGAACCGCUUAGCAUCAACGUUGCUACGUUCGAAAAACCCUUGAGAAAACUCACGUUCGCGCAUCUUCUUGAAGCUACAAAUGGGUUUAGCGCAGAGACUAUGGUUGGAUCCGGUGGGUUUGGAGAAGUCUACAAGGCUCAACUCAGAGACGGAUCUGUUGUAGCAAUCAAGAAGUUGAUUCGGAUCACGGGACAAGGCGAUAGAGAGUUCAUGGCUGAGAUGGAGACAAUUGGAAAAAUCAAGCACAGAAACCUUGUUCCGCUUUUGGGAUAUUGCAAAGUUGGUGAAGAGAGGCUUCUUGUUUAUGAAUACAUGAAAUGGGGAAGCUUAGAAACCGUUCUUCACGAGAAAUCAUCUAAGAAAGGUGGAAUAUUUCUAAAUUGGACUGCAAGGAAGAAGAUUGCGAUUGGAGCUGCCAGAGGGCUAGCGUUUCUGCACCAUAGCUGCAUUCCUCACAUAAUCCACAGAGACAUGAAAUCGAGCAAUGUUCUUCUAGAUGAAGAUUUCGAAGCACGUGUCUCGGAUUUCGGAAUGGCGAGGCUGGUCAGCGCUCUAGACACGCAUCUGAGCGUGAGCACGCUCGCGGGUACACCAGGAUACGUUCCACCAGAAUAUUACCAGAGUUUCCGGUGUACAGCUAAAGGGGAUGUUUACAGCUACGGAGUUAUACUUCUUGAGCUUCUCUCUGGUAAGAAACCCAUUGAUCCAGGGGAGUUUGGAGAAGACAAUAACCUGGUCGGGUGGGCAAAACAGCUAUAUAGAGAGAAAAGAGGAACUGAGAUUCUUGACCCGGAGCUUGUAACCGAAAAAUCUGGUGAUGCUGAGCUAUUUCAUUACUUGAAGAUCGCGUCUCAAUGCUUGGAUGAUCGACCGUUUAAGCGGCCAACAAUGAUUCAAGUGAUGGCAAUGUUCAAAGAGCUUAAGGCUGACACAGAAGAAGACGAAAGUCUCGAUGAGUUUUCGCUCAAGGAAACUCCGUUGGUAGAAGAGUCCCGAGAUAAGGAGCCUUAAAAGAGGACUGAGAAUGCUUAAUUUGUUACUUGUUCCAAAUUUUCGAUGUCCAGUCCAGUGUAUAUAACCGAGGAAGCUUGAGAAAGACGGUAUGAAUCAUUGGGAAGAUGAAGUAGACACUGAAGAGUUAUUGUAGCUGUUGAUUUGGCUUGGAGGGUUUUGUCUUUGGUUAACUUGUCAAACACGGUCAGAUAAAUUCCCUCGUUGUAUACUGCAGUUGUAAGUUUGUAUUUUCAGAAUAUUUUGUUAGAGUUUAGCUCAUUUAUAAGAAUUUUUUUCAUAUCUUAUUUCGUUUUCCGUUUCACACUAGCUGGUAACUAAUACCAGAAAAUGAGUCUCAGCUUUUACAUUUAUCUUGUUAUAGUCAGUCAUGCAGGCAUCGUGGUCGAUUUAAGUCAUCAAAUCUGGACUUCCAUAGUUGUAUAUCUCGUACCCAGUUGUAAAUCGCAAAGUUCAAAACUUUUACCAUUGAUUGAGCAUCUUUUGCAUCUCUUGGCCAUCUCCUUCAAACGUUACUUUUCUAUAAUCAAUUAACCCAGCUUUGUUGCAUUGCAUUGGUUGAAAUUAUAAACCUUGACAUUCACUUUCAAGAACUGAUUGGACUUUGUGACCUUUUUUAUAAACUAAAAAAUGAUAAUACUAAACGGGCUGUUAUAGGCCGAGAUUAUAAGCCCGUUAUUGAGGAAGCCUCAUGCAUAAAAAUAAGUUGGUUUCAAGGAUACCUAAAUCGAUAUAUUCCUAAAUUGAUAUAUUCCUAAAUUGAUAUAUUCCUAAAUCCUUACUUAUCUACUGGAUGGGAAAUGCAUGGUAGGACUAUAUAUAGAAAAAUAUAUUUCUUUUAAUAUGCAUGCAAUUCCCAUAUUCCUUAGUCAACGCUUGGGGUUUUCUUUAUGUUACUUCCAUAUUUGUUGUAUUACCCUCUAAAGAUUCAAGUGUUUAGAAACCGAAUCUAAUUGUUUUGGUUUACAAUAUAAUGCCAUACUAAAUUCAUGUAAAGAUCUUAUUAUCCUAUACAAUUUUAGUAUUUCUUUUAAUAUUCUACAUAAAAAUUGACCAGAGUAAUAGAGUUUGGAUGGAUUUAAAUCACUAUCCUUAUAAUAUAAGUAAAUGAUAAUUAUUUUGCACAACAAAAAAGUAAAUGAUAAUUAAUUUGUUGACUAAAAACAUCAAUCUUUAUAAUUUAGAUUUUUGUUAAUUCUAAUUUACUAAAUAUAAAAUCACGGUAAUAUUCAGUCCAGUUUAGAUUCAUUAUUAUAUUACCAACAUUACAUAAAUAAUGUUCCGUAUACUAUAAAUAAAAUCACAUUAAUAUUUAAUCUACUUUACAUCAAUUACUAACAACAUUACAUUAAUGAUGUUAUGGAUGCAAACAUAUGUUUAUGUUAAUUUUUAAAAAUACAAGAUCACGGUGAUAUUCAGUCGACUUUAACUCCGUUAUAUAAAAUAACAUUCAUUGAAUUUGUUGUAAUUCAAAUACAUCGAUAAUUUUUAGGAAACUUAAAAAUCGAUAAGUAAUAAUAAAAUGGUUAUUUUAAUAGGAUUUAAAUUGGCCAUCUACAUUAGAAAUUAGUGUUCUUACAAUUAAAUCUAGUAUUCUAUUAUAUUUAUAUAUAUAUUUAUAUAUAGCAUAUGAUAAUCUCAUCAUGCAUCUCUACAAAAAAAAAAACAAAAAAAAAAAGAGGAGAAAGAAGAAAAUUAAAAACACAUUAGGGAUUAUUGACACUUGGAUGACGAAAGUUUGACCAUUUAAAAGUGUUACCAUAAUAAAAAGGCAACGAAAUUUAGAAUAUAAGAACACCAUCAUCAUCAUCCUCCUAUAUGCACACACCCCAUUGUGUAUUCUUCUUCUUCUUCUUCUUCUUCUUCGUUUCCGGCUAGCUAGCUUUCUCUCAAGAACCAAAAAAAAAAAAAGGGUUUCUCCUUUUUACAUCUAAGAUUAAUUUCAUUAAUUUACAAAUCAUUUUCUAAUUCUAAAUCUCACAAAAUUUUCACUAAUAUUGUGUUUCUUGACAUCUUAGGGAUUUCUCCUUUUUAUAUCUAUCAUUAUUUCAUCAAUUUACAAACUAUUAUUGAUUCUGAAUCUCACAAAAUUUUCACUCUCACCAAUAUUGGGUUUCUUGACAUCUUUUAGGGAUUUCUUCAAAAAUGAGUGAUUUCGAUGGAAACUUCAACGAAUCGACGUCGUGUUGGGCACCACCUUUCAGCCCUAGCCCAAGAGCGAUAUUGGCGAUGAUUGAUCAAGCCGAAGACGAUGGUCUGGAUCUAAUCUCUGAGAUGUUCCCUCAUACCAACUUACCAAGAGACCAUAGUGCUCAGUCCUCUGAACAGAGAUCUGGUCUCGGCCAGAGAUUAGCUGCAAGAGUAGGGUUCAGUCCUCCACCACUCGACACAGAAAACAUAAGUCCUUCGGCUGCAUCUUUAAGGAGCUCGACGACUGUUCCUCCUCCUGUCUCUGCAAUCCCUCCGGGAUUUAUCCCAUCAACGCUAUUGCAAUCUCCCAAUAUGGUCACUGAUUCUUCACAGGUACGUAGCAAUGUCUUUCGUGUUUAAUCAUAUGGUUAUAAAUGAAUUUAUUUAUCAAAAAUAAAUAAGUUAAACGAAUCUGUCAUUGAACCAAAUAUUUCGACGUAUGUUAUAAUUCUUUUACGUCUAGCAUAGACUAAAAAAUGGUUUUAUAUACAUCUAUCGGUAAACACGAAAUCUAUUAUUUCCUUUUGUUUACGUUUUGAAAAUUUCCAUACCCCAUUUGCGUUUACCCCAACUUACGAAUGAAUGUUUGGUUCAUGAAUCUUGUUGUUUCGGACAGAUUUGUUUUGUUAUGAUUGACUGUAUUUUUCUCGGAUGGAUUUUGAUACCAGCUAUAUAUAUAUAUUUAAUUGCAUUUCAUAUAUUUCAUUUUAAUUUUCGUUUACAUUUACAUAAAGCUUUUGUUCAAACUAUAAUAUUCUUUUGUAACCUUCUUAUUUCCAGAUGAUCACAGCUCCGUCUUCAGACACCAAUUACGGACCUCAAGGUAUGGUGGAAACUUCCGGCGAAGGCAAUGCACCAACGUUGAUAUUCAACAACGAUCAUCCUUAUCAGCCGGUGAAUGCUGAUCUGCCUCUUCUUGAUGGUAACGGAGUUGCUUGUGUCACAAGUUUGCUUCCAUUUCUCUAUAAUUUCUCUAUCUUUUAAUUUUAUCAUAAUUUUUCUUACAGAAUGUGAGGCAGUCUUUGAUGAUGUUCCAACGGAAGAGUCCGUUUAUCUCCCAACUUAUGAAACUGAUCAUGUUGAGCCAAUUGGGGAUUCCUUAGUCCCUAAUUCCUUUGAACAUGAAUUCGUUGGAGAUGCCAAUGUCAACUUCAUCUCCAAUGAGGGCACUGAGAGCGUGAAGGACAGCGAGAGCGAGGAUGAUUUGGACUUCGACUUUGAAUUCGAAGAUGAAGAUGAAGAUGAAGCUGAAGCUGAAGAUAAUGAUGAAGAUAAAGCUGAAGAUGAAGAUGAAGAUAAUGAUGAAGAUGGAGAUGAAGAUGAAGAUGAUGAGGAAGAUGAAAAUGAUGAGGAAGAGGCUGAUCACGACGACGAAGCUGACUUUGAUGAUGCUGAACCUUCAUCUCCAAAGAGAAGGUCCAAACAAAAGCUAACGAUCAUAAUUAUCAACAAUAAUACUUAAAACAACAUAUAUCUUUUAUAAGCUAAACUAUAUAUAUAUAUCUUGCAGGAAGUUUGAGGCAUCAUCAAACAUGAUCGGAGCAACGAGAACAAACAAGGCACAAAGGGUCAUACUUCAGAUGGAAAGCGAUGAAGAUAAUCCUGAAGAUGGCUUUCGCUGGAGAAAAUACGGACAGAAAGUUGUCAAAGGAAAUCCUAAUCCGAGGUUGUUAUUUCCCCCCACCCACCCAUCUUCUUUAUUUCUCUCUUUUCUCUCUACUAGUCAUUUUGGUUUUGAUGUUCUGUCCGUAGCUGCUUUAAUAUAUAUGUAUGCUUCUUAAUUAAUACGUUUUUUGUGUGUGGUAUAUAUGUUAUGAAUCGCAGGAGUUACUUCAAAUGCACAAACAACGAUUGCAACGUGAAGAAACAUGUGGAGAGAGGAGCAGACAAUUGUAAGAUACUUGUGACAUCCUACGAUGGGAUACACAACCAUCCUCCCCCACCUGCACGCUGUAGAAUCAAUUCCGGUCCAAGGAAUCGGUCCGGUACAACAACGACGACUCAAAAUCAGAGCUAUCGAACCGACCGGUUAGGUAGGUUUCCUGCUCCUUCGUCUGUGAUCACACCUAUGGAGAUGAUGCCUUUAUCUUCCUUUACUCCACCACUUGAUAUGUCUAGGGUUUACAUGACCGGACUUAAUAAGCUGCCGAAUUUUUCAGUUUUCCAGAAUCCCGGUUACAUGUACCGGAAUGAUGAACCGAUGAUGAAUGUUGUACCGAAUGGUUCUGGGAUUUACGGUGGGAUCAGGCAUCGCCUAUUUGCUGAGUUUGGUGUUAACUUGAUGUAAUAAUUCGUUUUUUUCCUUUCUUCUUUCUUUCUUUUUCUUGUUCCUUAUCUCCAGUGAAAACCAAAAAUAAACAAAAAAAAUUGUAUUCAAUAUUCAUCAUCAUCAGCUUAAUAAUAAAUUACUUUUUACUUUUUUUGACUGAUUCAUUAUACUUUCUAACAGUUUUAGAUACGUUUAAUGUAGAAAAUGGACCUAAUCUUUUAAUCAAACCAUGAUUAGAAUCCAAACCGAAAUUCGAAUUGAACCGGUUUAUACCAGGUUGUCUAGUUUUAUUUAAACCGAUCGUAACUGACCCGGACAAGUCGGGUAAAAACUAAAAAGGAUAUGAGUGAUCCUUGCGUCCAAACAAUACCUUUCGUCUUUUUUGAUUUGUGUCAACGGCUCAGAAGAUUGAAGAGAAGAAUCGGCGAGAUUCUGGAAAAUUGAAAUUGAAAAGAGGAAGAGAGAGAACUCCUCCAUUCACAAUCAAACCAUGGAGGAAGUGACGAGAUCUGUGUUAGCGGAGGAGAUACUGAAGCGUUUAGAUCUGGAGAAUCUCUGUUCCGUCGCCUGUGUUUCCACCACCCUCCGCUCCGCCGUUGUCUCCGGCGUUCUCCCUUCUCUUACGUCUCUCGAUCUCUCUGUGAGUUUCAGAUUCUCUGAGAUUUUGGAGAUUUUCUCUGGAAAGAGAGUAAUUUUAUCGAAUUCUGUUUAGGUUUUCUCUCCGGACGAGGAGACUCUGAAUCACGUGCUGCGUGGUUGCAUCGGGCUUAGUAGCUUAACUCUGAAUUGUCUCCGCCUUGACGCUAAUUCUGUUCGUGGGGUUCUCGGCCCACAUCUCCGGGAACUUCACUUGCUCAGGUGUUCUCUUCUAUCCUCCACCGUCCUCACUUCCAUCGGUACCCUCUGCCCAAAUCUCCGGUACUAUUUCUUCUUCCCAUGAACUUUUUAAUAGAUACCUCAAUGAAUUCUCGUGCUUUUGGCCCAUGUUUGUUUCUGGAAAAGGGAGAAGAUUUACGAAAUGUCUCAUUUUUUCUGAAUUUAUCACUUCAUUGAUAGAAUUGAAUUAAAUUGAGUCCUCUGUCACUCCCCUUGAAGGCAAGCCUUUACAUAUCUGGGGUUAGCUAUGACUUUUGUCAAUCACUCUUUCUUGAUUAGAAGCAUUGAGUUUAGAGCUCUAGAGUUGAAGUUGUGAUUGUGACUUUGUGAGUACUUAAGAGUUUUUUUUGGUUCAAUUAUUUAUUACAGGGUUCUUACCCUGGAAAUGUCAGACCUGGAUUCUCCCGCUGUUUUCCAGUCUAACUUGACGCAGAUGCUUAACGGGUGUCCUUAUCUGGAGGUAAUUUGUUAAAAGCUUGCUGAGGCAUUGGUCAGAAGAAGCGAGAAAGUGUGAAAUUGAAUUUGGGUUUUAUAUUCUUGUGAUGCUUGCAGUCUCUGCAACUUAACAUCCGAGGUAUCCUAGUAGAUGCCACAGCUUUCCAGUCUGUUAGAUUCUCCUUGCCAGAAACUCUCAAAGCUCUCAGGUUACAGCCACUGCUUGAGUCCGAAGCAAUUCUUCUCAUGAACAGAUUCAAAGUCACUGGAACUUGUUUAUCUCAGGCUGAUUAUAGUGCCUUGCUUUCUCCUUCACCUUCUUUUACUUUGCAAAGCCUGUCUCUUGUGCUGGACUUGAUAUCUGACAGGCUAAUCAUAGCUAUCACAGGUUCUCUUCCUCAACUUGUCCAACUGGACCUUGAAGACCGUCCUGAAAAAGAGCCAUUUCCCGACAGUGACCUGACUUACACUGGGCUUCAGGCUCUGGGUUAUUGUCAGCAACUCACAAGCCUCUCUCUGGUUCGAACUUGUUACAACCGCAAGAUAUCAUUCAAGAGAAUAAACGAUAUGGGUAUAUUUCUUCUCUCCGAGGCUUGCAAGGGUUUAGAGUCAGUGAGACUCGGUGGGUUCCAAAAAGUUAGCGACGCUGGUUUUGCAUCGCUCCUGCACUCAUGUCGGAACUUGAAAAAGUUUGAAGUACGAGGUGCCUUCCUGUUGUCUGAUUUGGCAUUCCAUGAUGUCACAGGGUCUUCUUGUUUUCUUCAAGAGGUCAGACUCUCGACUUGUCCUCUCAUAACCAGCGAAGCUGUGAAGAAACUGGGGUUGUGUGGCAAUCUUGAGGUGCUCGACUUGGGCAGCUGCAAAAGUAUAUCAGAUUCUUGCCUCAACUCUGUUUCAGCCCUUAGAAGGUUAACUUCUCUGAAUCUCGCAGGAGCUGAUGUAACCGAUAGUGGCAUGCUUGCACUUGGUAAGUCAGAUGUUCCUAUCACGCAACUGUCUCUCCGCGGCUGUAAGAGAGUCAGUGAUAGGGGAAUAUCCCAUCUGUUGAUCAAUGAAGGAACAAUCAGCAAAACAUUAUCAACACUUGAUCUUGGUCACAUGCCAGGAAUGUCAGACAGAGCCAUCCACACAAUCACGCGUUAUUGCAAGGCUUUAACAGAGCUAAGUAUCAGGAGUUGCUUUUACGUAACAGAUUCGUCGAUAGAGUCGCUGGCUACAAGGGAAAGACAAGUAGAGGGAGGAAGCAAACAGUUGAGGAAGCUCAAUAUCCAUAACUGUGUGAGCUUAACGACUGGAGCACUGAGAUGGCUGAGCAAGCCGUCUUUUGCGGGUCUGCAUUGGCUCGGUUUGGGACAAACACGAAUUGCUGGUCGAAAAGAGACGGUCACAGCUACGAUUUGUGGGCAGAGGCCGUGGCUCACAUUGUGCUUCGAUGGGUGUGAGCUUGGAUGCUACGAUGGUUGGGAAUUCCACACGCCACAGCGCCACUGAAGAACUCAUCUUCUCACUAGUUCAUCAUGUAUUAUAUAAAGUCGUUCAGAAUCAUAAUUCAUUAAAUUAGUUUGUGUAAUUUAUUUCAACUUUUCAACAUUUGAUGUAAUUUAUAAACUAGUUGCAAGAAUUGUAUCAUCUUUAAUAUUAUAUACUCGUAAUCUCGAAGAUAAGACUUUUUAUUAAUUUUGUUUAUAAUAUUAUAUAUAUUCUCUUUCUGUUUUGUAAGGUUAUGAAGGAUAUCACUGAUCACUGAAAACAUCAUUGACACAGCAGCUUGCAAUAAUAAUACUUGGCAGAAAGUAACAAAACCAUUGUGAUUCAUAAAUAGUUUUAACCAAAACAUUUAACUAGUAAAAGAAAGAAAGAUGAUUAAAGUGGCUAUACAGUAAUAUAUAAGCCUGAGCAGAUGGCAGAUGGCAGCAAGGCAGCAAACACUUGAAAUCUGGAGCCAAGCCAAGCCAACUACUCAAGAUUUGACUUGUGAUUGGUUAAGCAGUCAAAAUUGAUUAGUUAGAUCACUAUGAAAGAAAAACAAAGAUACCAUUAUUUGCUAUUCUUAUAUAUUUGAUUAAAAUUAAGAUGUUGGAUUCACAUGUUAACGACAAAUGUUACCUAAAUCAACCUCACGUGUCGGUUUCACGAACCGAACAUCCGAAAACCAGAGUGUUGUCUCUUCUCCUUUUAUACAAUUCUUGUGGAGUUCCUCUUAUUAAAACACAUUAUUUUUUUCCUAUUAGGUCAUAUCGUCCUUCAAAAUAUAUAGAGACUUAUUCCAGUCAUUAGUCAUAUCUCUUAAUUCUUAUAUAAUCCUCAUUGCAAGCAUCUUAUACUUACCAAUAUAUUAAAGGUCGCAUAUCUCAACUUCUUUGUAUCAAGUAAUGGUCAGAAGGUUGUAGCAUAGAUAUUCAACGUAAUUAAUUAANNNNNNNNNNNNNNNNNNNNNNNNNNNNNNNNNNNNNNNNNNNNNNNNNNNNNNNNNNNNNNNNNNNNNNNNNNNNNNNNNNNNNNNNNNNNNNNNNNNNNNNNNNNNNNNNNNNNNNNNNNNNNNNNNNNNNNNNNNNAAAAUAGAUUGAGAUUGAUGGAUGGAAGUAAAUAGAGAGAGUGGGUGUGUCGAAGAGCAUGAGGGCUUGCUUCUGUCAGUAAGCAUAUGAAAUAUUUAUAUUUCACCUAAAACCCUAAAUCCAUUUUCUCUUCUUUUUUUCUUUUUCUUUUUUUUUUCUUAUAAUUUUUCUCACGAGGUAUUUUUCCACAAGGCCAUAUUUAGAUACUUCAUUUGGUUUUCUUCAUAUUUCAUAUUUUUUUAUUUAAAGAUACCAACUUAAUUUGUUGGAUGAAGUUUAGGUUUCUACCUACACGCAAAAUUGUCUUUCAGCUCAUGACAACGUACGUCAUCUUUGUUACAUGUUUCACCGUCUUGUCAUAUGUAAUUAUUUGAUGUUUGAUAUAUUAGUAAUACAAAUAAAAUAUAUAUAAAGUGGUUUUUUUAAUUUGAUUAUAAAAUAGCUGACAAGUAAUUUGAAUGUUUCCAUUAAAACAGUCAAACUGUAUUAAAAUUAUCUCUAAUGUCUUCUCUUGUAUCAGCAUAUAGUUGACCAAAAAAAUAUAAUAACAAAUGUCUUCUCCUAUAUCAGUAUAUAGCUGACUUUAUGAUGAAACACUUAAUAUGUACGUUGACAAACAAACAAAAAAAUAACUAAUAUAAUUUGUUCAACGAAGAAGUUUAAUUUAUAGUGUAUAUUAGGACACAUUGGAACAAUAAUAAUUAGUAAAAUAGAGAUAAUGUAUAGUAGUAGAGCCUAUGUAGAUAUAUAUAGAUAUUUACCAGUAAAAAUAAGCUCAUAUCUAUGGGGACAGUUUCGUAGUCCACCGGCUUAAGUUUUUCUCUUUUGAGCGUUGUAUUUCACCUAUGGUUCCACAACAAGUUUUAUUAAACAAGUUUUAUUAAAUAAAAAGUAAACAAGUUCUCAAUUCUACCAUAGGUUAAUGUAGUAUGUAUGUAUUUGGAUGUGGUGCGCAUAUAUAUGGUUGAACAGAAAGAUCGGAUCUAAAUCUGAUCAUUGCUUUUUGAAUUCAGACAUAACUAGACGCGUGUGUAUAUGUGUAGGUGUGUUGAUAUGUGUGCAGUGUUUUAUUAAUUGUAUGUAUGUAUAAAUCAAUAAAUGUGUUAGGGCAAAGAGUGAACACAAGUGUAUGAAAAAAAGGGAAGAGACGGGAAGGCAACGAGACACGAGAGACGAGAGAGAUACCUAUGAACCACGACUUGUGUGUUUUUGUUUCAUGUUAAUUAAGAAUUAGUACUACAAAACAUAACUAACUAAGUACAUAUAAUAUAGUAUUAAGAUCACCCUUUUGUAAUUUAUAAAAACUACUAACACAAGUAUAAAUAAACACACCCUUUUGUUUUAUUUUUGACAACUUUGAUGCUUUUGUUUCACCCGACAAAUCGGCACCUUUUAGGGUUUUCAUUACCUGUUUCUUCCUCAAAGACAAAUCCCUUUUUUCACCCCCAUUACUUUACUAACUCUCCAUAUAAAAAUAUUAGUAAUUACUUUGAUUAUAAACUAAUCGAUCAGUACCUGUCUUGGAAAUAACGAAAACUACUCAUCAUUUUUUUAACUCGACAAAGGAAAAAAAGAAUUUUCGGGAAACAAAAGGAAACACUUGGUUGUUUGAUUAUUCUUCUAAAAGAUCUUCUCUGUCGACACUAACCCUAAUUAUCAAUUAAACAAAUGUUUUUAUUUUAAUUGGCAUCCAAAUGGUGGUCUUUAUAGUUCGUUGUCCAAGUAUGAACUAUGAUACUGAUUGUAGAUACUAAUUAGUUUUAACUUUAAUUUGGUCAGAGAGUUGGAUUUAUUCUUAUAAGGAAAAUACUUAUAUUUUCUUUUUAAAAAGGGAACAAGUAUUCAUACUGAUUAAAAAAAAACUGUUUUACGUACUAUAUAUCUUUUGAAAUAUAUAUUUUUAAAAUAUUUAUUACCCAUAAUUUUUAUGAAUUUUUCUUCUUAAGAAGCUCCUUAGUCUAUUGGAAAAUUUAAUUAGUAAUUUCAUAACUUGUAAGACAAAAUAAAAUUAUAUAUAUAUUAUCAAUUUAUGAUUUUGAUUGAGUAUUGGGUUAUCAUGGGUUGUAUAUACAUAAAAUUUCUAAAAUCUACACACACACAAACCACCCACCAAAAGAAGUUUGGAGAGAAACAAGAGACUUUGUCCAAGUGAUUUCAAUCUCCGAGCUUCUCCCAAAGGCCAAAGCCAUAGACUAAUGAACAUCUAAAUACAAACUCCUCCUAUUUAAUUUGCCUAAUCACUGAAAGCGUCCGUUAGCUAGAUACAGCUUAGUCUAUUUAAUUAGAACGGAGAGUGUUUGUGUUAUACGUAUUCAUGAGUGACUUGAUUAGGGAGUUGUUACCAGAGGAUCUUCUAAUUGAUACUAUAUCCAAUAUAUAAAGAUUAAAGUCAGUUCGAAAGUAGACAUGCAAUGCAGAUGAUCCCUAUUUGGUUUAGAGAUUUUUGAAGACGCAUACGGAAUAAUUCUUCUGUUUUUGUUUGGGUGUAUACAGUAUACAUAUAUUAGUUUUUUUUUUUUUUUGUCAUCUAUAUGUUAGUUUUAAAUUAACAUCAGUACUGUUGAAUUUAUUAAUUUCUUUACUUUUUCAUAUAGUAACGUUGACUUAUUUUUAUUAAUUUCUCUAUUAUACCUUAGCUUCAAAUUUUUUUUUUCUCUCAUUCAUCCGGAUUUGACUUUCAUUUUAAUAGAUCAUACGUAUACAUUAGGGCUUAUAUAUUGGACUUUAAUAUCAUGUGACAGAACCAUAAAUUCCUAUUUCAAAUCAGUUUUAAGUAUAAAUAAAAUUGACCGAUAUAUGUUUUUCCUAUUGUAAUGAAUUAGUUCUUUCCAAUUUUUUGACUUAAAUAGCUGGUAAAAGCUCUACAAUGUUCCAUUUUAAUCAAAAAAACUAAAGUAUAGGCUUGCGAGACAAAGAGGACGGUCUCAUAUAUAUAUUAUCAUCAGGACUACAUAUAAAUCAAUACUAAAUUAAAUAAAAAAAGAGCAUUAGAAAGUGGAAUCUCUCAAAAGAUCGAAGAGACAGAUUAACAACUCUCUCGUGCAAAGUAUAUUAUUAAGGGAGCCGCUUGGGUCCAAAUAAGACCAUUUCCACAAAUGUUAAGGUCUCUUUAUAUUUGUAACUAUGACGUGACUAAUUUAAAUCGGAAUAUUUCGUUCAAUUAGUUAAUAAAACUCACCUAACAUUAAAACUUAUCAUAAUGUCGUAUUGUAUUAUAUAAUAUAGAAAACCUCCACGAAAUUUAAAAAUACAUUUGAAUCAUCAGUGGAUACAUAUAUAUAGAAAUCAAAUCUUAAAACGCAUCUAAUAUACUAGUGGAUCGACUACUUGAAUCAAAUAAAAAUAGAUAUAAUAAAAAGAGACAAAAUGGGAUUAUAUAUGUCAAAACGAUACACCUAAGAUUUGGGUUUGGAAAAGAAAGAAAAAAAUAUAGAUAUUAGUAGGUUAAACACAAAAGAUUAGGUUGUCUCUCUGUUGGAGCUUCCCAAGAAACAAAAAGACACACAUCCCAAGAAGGCAAGAAUCCUCCUCCGCCGUCGUCGACAAUCUUCGCCGGAGCCAUCGUCCUCCUCCGUCAUCUCUGAUAAAUCAUUAUUUUGCCCUAACACCAAAAAUUAUCCAUCUUUUUUUCUCUAUAUUAUAUAUUAUAUUUGAAUUUUAGGUAUUUUUUUGUUCCUCCUUUGUAUCAUUUCCACGAUGAAACGGAGAAGAGUAGACGAUUUUGCCAACCAAGAAACAAAGAAUCGUUAAGGAACUGAAGAUUAUAACCUUCUGAAGGAUAAUGGAGCCUAAGAAGAAGCUUAGCUUGAGACAAAGCAAAGCUUCCAAUAGGAACGUUAACGAAACCAAAUCUCUUCAUCAUCUCUUCCCAUAUCUCAAACCUCCGAUGUCUUUGCUUCCUCUCCGUCGCUUCCGCCGCCACGACAUCCAUAAUCUCCUUACCGAACCACCGUUGCUCUAGGGUUAGUCUCUCUCGGCUAUUUGGCGGCAAAGUCGCUUCCAAGGAAUCAAAUAUCGCCACGUAAUGAUCCAAAGCCUCUGAGAAUCUAAUCAAGAACGAGUGAUCUCCAUGAUUAGCUUCUCUCUCAGCCAUUGUCACGAUUCUAGGGUUUAAGCUCUUGAUCACUGUUAAGAAGUGACCGAUCAAAUCUGCAUCGUCGUUAAAGAACUUGUAGAGGAAGUGAACACAGUUGACGGCAAUGGUCUCUCCUUGUACGGCGGAGAGAGCUAACAAUCGGAUCUGUAGCAAGAGCCCGGGGAGAUCUUCGUCUACGAUCACCAGCUUGUGAAACUGGAACUGGAGACCUAAAGAGUUAGCAAACCGGGUUAACCUAUCUCCGGUUCGGUUUAAUCCGGUUACAUCUCGACCGCAUCCGGUUAUGCGGAGAGAUGGUGGUGGACUGUUAGGGCUUGAUGACCUCUCUGCUAGGGCUUGCAUCAAUGGAGGCCACUGAAGUCCUUGUGAUAUAUCUAAAUCAAGUAUAUGUAGAGCUCCAUUAUCGUUUGUCUCGGUCGCGUCGAGGAUCGCCUGGUUCGCCGUUAAAUGACCGAACCGAAUAAACGGCGUUAGUUGAUUCAGCCAAAGAUAGUAACAAGACUCGAAGUCAGAGUUGUUGUUCUUGGUCCGAAACAAGAACUGUUCUUUGCACACACUGCUCGUGAACACCGUGGAGUUGGUACUCAUAGUCAUUUCGUUCGUCGUACACGUGGCAACCGUUGGAUCUUGUUCCUGUUGUAGACGGUUGAUCCGUAAGGACAAGGCUUUCGUGAAGAGAUGGGCGAGUCGCUGGGUGGAGUCGCCGAAAGGAGAAGAGUUGAGGGAGAGGAUUGAGAGUAAGUUCCGAGCGGCGGUGAAGUUAGACUGAGAGACGAAAUCAGCAGCGGUGAAAAGUAGACGACGGAGGUGAUGGGAGGCGGAGGUAGCGGCGGAGGAUGAGGAGGAGGAGGCAAGCUGACAAAAAGGAGGAGGAGGAGUCUCGGUGGUGGCAUCUUCGGAGGAGGAGCUAGAGGAUUUGAAAGAAGUAAGCAUUAGAGAAGAAGAAAAAGAUGCUUUUGGUUCAAAUGAUUCGUUUUCUCUCUCGAUCAAAUGAGUCUUUUUCAAUGGUAAUAAAUAAUAGAUAUUAAUUCCCUUUACCUGAAGGUAUAUUGCUUGUAGUAUUAUUCAAAUAUUAUAUAUAAAUCCACACUUGUACACACAUAAAUAUAUAACAUAAAUUUUAUGGAUAGAGAUGAAGAUGGACCGACCAAGCAAUUCAAGGGUCCAUGAGAAUCCUCAUCAAAGCUCAUUUUAGGGUUUUAAUUAUUAUAAAAAGUUUACUAUUAUCACACGUAGCUUAAUAACUUCUUUUUCUCUAUGAAAUACUUAGCUUUUAGUUUUGUGUAGUUUCGGUUCAUAAUCUCUCCAAUAAAAAUAUUAGAGAUGAGUUUACAAAAGGUGAAUCAUUACACAAUAUUAAGGCUUAAAAUAUAUCAUGUAGUUUAAUACUUUAUUAUUUCAUGUGUUUUUGGCAUGCAAGGACUUUAUCAUCUCCUGUUUUGGUUUCAAAUUCGGUUAAUAUAUAUAUUUAGGACUACUCUUUGCAGCAAAGGAAUCUAUUUCAUUUGUUCAUGGACGUGCACUAAAUAAAACAAAUAGUUACUACUAUAUAUAUACCCAUAAACAAUUUAGAUAUUAAUUAAAUAAAAAAGCACUAAAAAAGAUAUUAUACAUUAAAAGUUAAGACAGUUCUACAUAUCGGUCGUAUAAAUUAUAUAUAUCUGCGUUCACACGUCUUCGUCGACAAGGAUAUAUAUAUUUGAAAAAAAAAAAUUGUGCGGUGGAUCGUGGGAGAUGUCCCACUAUGCUAAUUUGAUUAUAUGGGUUUUUUGCAGAAAUUAUGCUCAUAGGUUCCAAAUAUUUAGAUUAGAUGCGUAAAUUGGGAAUUCUCGUUGGAGAUUCUUCCGAUGCCAACUUACGAGAUUUAGACAAUAUAUAGUUUUUGCUUAAUUACAAAUAUAAGAAGAAUAAGACAACAACAACUACUGUAAUAAUACUACAAGUUGUAAUUUUUAGAUGAAGGAAUCUGAAAAAAAUCUCGGGAUGUACAAAAAAGAGAGAAGUAUGUAGCUUUGCUUGCAAAAUAGAAAAGCUAUGCAAACCCCCAAAAUUGCUAAUUAUUACACCUUUUUCACUUAUUGAAAUUACCAAAGUGGUAAUGCUGCAAAAAAGAUCUCUCCUCCUCUCACCCUUUCAAGUUAAAAGGAUCCUCUCUUUCUCUCACUCACUAUAUUAUUAUUGUGUAUCUAUGGGAGUGCCUCUACAAUUAGAGAGCAUCUUUAUUGCUCAGUCACUCUCGUUUCUUCCAUCUUAUCGCAUGAUAAAUGCAUUUACAUACCUUUUUUUUUAAUAUAAAAUGCUACUUACAUACUUCCAUCAACGAGAAAGAUGCUUUCAAAUUUCAAGAUUUUAUAAACCGUUUGGUGAGUCCUUUUUUCUUUUUCUUUUUGGUUCAUCUAACCGUUUGGUGAGUUGUCCGAUAAGUACCUGAACUAUAUCCAAUUAUCCAUUGAUAAGUUUUGUAUAUAACUCCAUAAUGUGUGUUUCCAAAGAUAUACCUAUAUUCAAUUUAUGUUUAAAGCUUAUAUGAUCAAAGCUUAGCUUAUGUAUGCUACAAAGAAAUUAUAUAUGUCAGACAACUAAUUCGCCGACAUAUAACACUAGCAUAUUAAAACUUGAAUUAUAACACAAGAUAGACUCUUAAGUUGGUUAUUAUUAUUAUAUAUAUAAAAAGAAGGUAUGAAAAGAGAGCAUCUCCAAGUUGGGAUCCAAGUCAAAUCAACUUUUAAUACAAAAGAAUAGUAGCAAUUAUAUAAUUAAAAGUAAUAAGAAAUAAAUAGUGUAUACAACAUAUACAU